UUACUAGAGCCAUGCAUGAAUUACAUAAACUAGCACAUAAGCUACUUGUUUUGUAUUGAGUUUUGUCGAACCUUGUUGACCUAUGUUGAUAAGAUUAUCAUGCUCUCAAGAUCAAGAUCACAUAAACCCACAUAUUUCUAUCGUUCCUACAUUGGGAAUGCACACAAACAUGUCUUUCCAUCCACAAAAUGUUUUACUCCUACAUUAGGAGAAAACACAAAAAAGAGUCUAGCUAGGAAUAAUUGCUCUAAGUUCUUUAAAGUCUUUCUCAAUAUUUUCUAAUUAUGGAAGGGAGGUAUGUGGCUAUGCAAAAUAAAGUAUUGAAAAAAAAGGACAAGUGUCCAAGAAAGAGAAAAGAAGAAAAUAAAAUAAAGAGAUAACCCUUACCAUCCUUUGUAAAGAUCAUCAAUGUUUUAGAAGAAGAAAGAUAUUCUUAAAGAGAAAAGUAGAAUUAAGAUUAGCCACUAUAUAUUUCACACACAUGCAGUUUUUGAUCUAAGAGUAUGCUAUUCCCCUCCAUAGAUCUGAGUUUGGACUUACCAACAUAUGCAAGAUAAGUAUGCUAUUUCCUUGAAUUACCUUUAACUCCAUAUAAGCCAUUAUAGAGUAGGAUACAUAUGAGGCAUAGAUCAUACAUGCAUUGGUGAGUUCCACAAAUACAACUCACAAUGAGUGAUUCCAGUGUGCUACAUGAUGGCGAAGGGUAAGCUAAAUUUUUUCUUUGCAAAAAUAUUAUAAACUCCAAGUGAUAGGACUGAAGAAAAAGGGAAAUCUAUUUUGUACUGUUCCAUCCUCAACUUCUCAAAGUUUUGUGGUAGACACUUUGAAUCCCGCAGUACAGGUAUGAUGCUGUAAAAUGCUACGGUGAUGUUCUGUGCACUUGCAGAAUCCUUCAUAUUUCUUUUUGCACUAAUGAAUGUCAACAAUGAGCCAGUCUAGUUCGGAGCUGACCCCGCUUGUGAGGAACCAACACAUACCAGUUAUGAUGACUGGCAGGCUCACUAGUGCCACACACUGAACCUAGGGGUGUAUCCUCCAUACCAUCCCGCUUACUAGCCAUACGAGUAUUAUCAACCGCCACCAUUCAUCCAUACAAAGGGAAUGAACUUGAGGCAAAGGACCAAGACAUUCAUUUGAUGCCUAUGGUACAAGGACAGAAGAAGAAGAACUGUAACAAGACUUCGAGCAAGAACAUAGCUCUCAUGCUACUAGGUUCUUCUAUACCCAGCACAUUAUAAAGAACAAAUGGCAUUCCAAAACUCAUCAACACCUCUUUGGCUCACAAUGAGUAGAAUUGGAAUGAUCAGCACCAGUGGAAUGAAAAUACCACUCAAACUCUGGCCACUAUUUGAGAAGGACAAGACCAAGUUAAUAACACUUUUAAUGACAUCUUCGCAUUCCUGCAAAUCCUGAAGGACCCACCAUGUGAAGACUAGCUUGGGGGAAGACCCCCUUUAUCAAGGUAAGUUUUCUUUCUCUUCAUUCUAGUUUAUUUCCUUUCUUUUUAUUGCAUAUAAAAACCUUAGAAAACCAAAUAAAAAGAGUGUGUAAUAUAAGUUUGCUUUACUUUACUAUUAAGCUGGCUAUAAAUAAAAUAUGUAGGUUUGGAGAAUGCAAGAUGGAAAUGAUGAAUAGUUGCUCUGCUAUAUUCUUUUCAAGUACCUAGUUUUAAAUUUGAGUUCUCCCAAGGAUUGGAUAUAUUGUUUAACAACUAAUUUACUAUACUCUUUAAACCCAUGGGAGCAUAUGCUUAAACUAAGUCUAGGUAGUUGAUGGACACGGUAUGAAAUAGUCUGAGCUGCUAUUUAUUAUGUUCCUAGUGCUACUAAACUCUGAAGAUUUAUUUUGUGAAAAUUUAAAAUGUUUCAUGAUGAGUUCCAUGUGUGACAUAGAGUAUAAAAUUCCCACCAUAGUUAUACUUAUUUAUAAUUGGAAGCCUCCACAUAUUUGUAGGGCUUGUGUUUGCUCGAGCUGUGUUGCCACUUAGGAACUCAUCAUACGGCUAAAUCCUGGUAUCACGCACACUCAUGUACACCCUUUGCUGCUUUUGCUCUAGAAGUACGCAUAUAUAUAUAUAUAUAUAUUCCAUUUUUACCUAUCCAAAAAUGUUUCACUCUUACACUGGGGGUUAACACCCAAAAUAUUUCCCUUGUUCUUUCGCUAGCCAUUUACCUCAAGUUCAAAUGCUCCAAGAUACAUCCUUCAUUCUCUACAAAAUGUUACAAAAAAGAGUUGUUGGCCUGCAAGAAAAAUGUUGGACAAAAGUCCUAUGAAAAGCAAAAAAGAGAUUUAUUAGCCCAUGAAUAUUAUGAAGUCUGCAAAGUUCAAGGUUAGAGGAAUCAUUUUCUAAAUAAAAGAGCAUUAGAAUUAGUUUGCACCCCUUCUCCUUCCACAAAUAUUCUCUAUCUUAUCAUUCAUAUAUAAAACCACACAUGUACAACCGGUUGGUCAUAUGAUGAGUUCUUCUAGAUCCAUGAUUCGAUCAGACCCAAUGCAUUAGUUAUCUCCACACCUAUGAGCUCCACAUAAGCUUUAUUAGAUAUUGGGAGAGAGAGUGAAGGCUGUAUAAAAUGCAAGAGAGAAGGCAUCACUUCUUUCAAUUCCUUAGAGAGGAUCCAAAAAUACCACAUAUUGAGAGACUUGAAAGGGUCAUACUAAAGAACUAUGAGUUUUAUUUUGAAAAAUCUUAUAAAAACUUCCAAAUAGAGAUGGAACAACAGAGCAUAAGACAACAUUGUUUGACCUAAUUGUUCUGACUUUCAACUUCUCAAGACCCAAAUACAGGUAAUAGCCUCAUGGUUAAAAGAAACAUGAGUAAGUUGGAAGUUAUGAUAGUCCACUCUAGUCUAGGGAUGAACUCUUGUUUAAAGCAUGCGUACCUAUAAAGAGUAAAAGCAUUUUAGCAACUCCUGAUCCAUCUCUUGUAGUUGUUUACUCAAGGACGAGCAAAAGGCAAGCUUGGGGGCGGUUUAUUAAUUGGUGACGAGUUUAUGUAUAUGUUUGCAAAGUGCUUAGCUCUCUUUGCGGGAGGGUUAUGUGAUAAAUGCCAUGUAAUCAUGGUGCUUAGAUAUCAUUUAUCUAGAAUUACACCCUAUUAGUCGGGUCGUGUGGUAGAUCACAGAAGUGAUAGUUCUGUUGAUUCCUUGUACUCCAUCCCCCGUUGGUAUGAUAGGUAGAACCACAAUUGCGUAGAAAGUCUAGCUAUGUCUUGGCUUUUUAUAGCAAUGUUCCUUAUACAUAAAUGAAGAGUAUUUUGUGCUAUAUAUGAUAGUGUAGCAUUAGAAUAAAUGAAUGACUUGGUAAAUUAGAACUACUUAGGAUUUUCUAUCUCUUGAACUAAUCAGAUGUCAACCUACUAUUAGGUGGAGUAGUCUAUAUCUAAUCUCUAUGUGAUUUAUUCCUUGAGGUUUUAUACUUCAUAUUAUUUAUCUAUCAUGGUUUACCCCACUGCCAAGUAUGUGACUAUGCAACCCAUUACUCAUAACUAAUCAUGGUUUGCAUGUUUAUCUCAAUGUUAAAGUCCUUAGUUCUUUCCCUUGAGCUAAAUAUACAUAACGAUACCUGGAAUACUUUCUGGUGAAGUGCUGCAAUGGUAUUUAAUCUCUAUGCUUGCAGAUCUUAUAUUUAUUUUAUUAGUGAAUAGUUUUUAUACCAACACUUCUGGUGCUAUGCUUGGGAUGGCAACUUAGCUUAAGUGGUGUUAGAAGUGUUAACAAUAUGGUGGAGCAUUAUAAUCCCUGAUAAGUCUUCUAUUUUGAGGAGCAAUUUUUAUAGCCGAAUAACCAUUGUUAUAAUCUAUUGUCGGCUGUUGCACUGACUACUAAACAAUGUUACCUCCAUUGAACAGAUGACUUCCAACUAAUGGUUCCCCAGAUGCUUGCUCUCUUGAUGUUUGCCCGACAAACGCCUGUCUAUUUCUAGCAGGAAUAAAAUAUGUUGAACCUCUAUUCUGUAUAUUUAGACUAAAAGCUUGUUUAUUAGCAUUAGUAAUACCAUUUAGAAACAUCUCAUUAUGAUUAGCCAAAGUUGAUGCCAUGUCCUUGCUGAUAGUCUCAAACAUAGUAUUGUGCUGAAUUUGAACACUAGGGUCACGCUCCCCUUCUAUAAUUACUCUUGGAAGUAAAGUCUUCUGAAUCACCUUGUUAUCCCUAUUCUUACUAAAAGCAAGCUGACACUUCUCUUGAUAUAGAUUGACAGCUGUAACAACCAACUUCUUUUAGUUGAUCAGGAAGUUCAUCUAGAGUGAUGUUCAACAUGUUCUCAUUAUCUAUGUCAUCGGUUGGGGUCCCACUAAGCAUGCCAAAAGAUAUGUUGGUCUAAAAAAUUGCUUCUUUGUACAAUACACCUGAUGGCUCUUAGAGGGCAUGUAGAAGCUAGAGUUUUGGACCUCCUGAGCCUCAAUGCAUGAGCUAAACUUGUGUUGAUGCAAAAUAAAUCUGCAAACACAACGGGCUAAUACCCGAUUCUAAAAUUAUGGCGUGCCAGCCGAUUUGACCUAGCAAUCGACAAAGGUGAUAACUUGAAUACUUUGGUUCCGACAACAGCGAUGCGCCUGGAUGUCACAGCCAAGAUAUACUCACACGGAACUCGAGAAUUCGCCAAUUAUUGCUUCUUGAAUCCCUGAGAACUCAUAAACAAAAGAAAAUAUGCGAGUUGAUGAAGUCGUCAAAAAAGUAGAUGUAAAAGUAGAUGUAAAACUUGUGUGUGAUUGUUGGCAAAUCUUAAUGCACACCGGCUAGAGUAAGAUGUGACAAGUAUCUAGAAAUGGUGGCGCCUAACCAGCACUACUUAAAUGCAAGCAUGGGCUGUUACUAGGAUAGGGUGUCACGCUACCGUAAACAAUGGCUCCAGAAAUGCUAAGCAAUGCUAAACUCUAGCGGUGACACAAGACGUACCAAGGGUAACUCUGCAAGCGCACACGUACCGCUAUAGCACUUCAACCGUGGUGAGUAUCUACGGUGUCAUAAUUUUUAGUUCGCUCAUGGGAAGCGGACUAAGACUCUCUUAAUAAAUAUAUGGAUGGAUAUCCGUGGUUUGUGUCUACUCAAUCUAAGUUCACUAGUGCUAAUAGGAGGGUAAGAAUAGCAAGGUAGGAUAGUAGAUAAGUUAGAUAAAGGUAAGUAAAGAUAACUGGUAGUGAGCUAGCUACGUGGGAGGACAACGAGUGAGUAAGGACUCCUAUGUAUCUAAGUCUACUUCUAUGUUCUAAUCCUAAUCAAUGUAAAUCUACUAUCCAAACAGUCUUGUGCGGUGGGAAGUCGACUGCAAUAGGAGGAUGAAACUCAUAUCCAAGUGGACCUUUGUCUUAUGGGCUUCUACAGACCGUACCCAACGUGAAUAGAACGUACUCGGAAGUAGAGGCCUGUCACGCUUCGCUGCCACCAGCUAACACGUUUGAUACGGUGGUAUCCACUAAUAAGCACUAGCCUAAGUAGGUUGCUUACACUAGUCUUAUAACUUCAACUGUCACGUAAGUAGCCAAAGCCCCUAAGGGAAGUGGAACACACGCAAGGUGUUGAAGACACUAAUCUAACUAAGGCAGCUACACUAAUAAUACUAAGACACAACACUACUACAAGUAUAAUAAUGCACUAAGCAAUACUCAAAGUAAGGACUUAAAGUAAAUACUUAGUAAAGUAAAGAAAGGCUAUAUUAAUGUAAAGAAUGUAAUACAAGAGAAAAGGUACAAGAGCUAUAGCAGACUCUCUAGAAGACAGCUCUCGAGACCCGAGCUUCGCUCGACUCGACUCUAACUCCCACUCUAGACUAGACUACACUCCACUUGAUCUCCCAAGUGGGAUUUGGAAAUGAAGGACCCCUCCUUAUAGAUGGAAGAUGUCUCAUGGGAGAUGGAGGACCCCUCCGUAUAUAGGGGUGAAAGAGGGGGUGCCACGUCAGCGAUCCACGUGCUCCUUCCUUCUCCACCCUUGGAUGCACCGACCUCUCAACCGCCUUAGAUGAAUGGUUGGAGCAUUGCCACACAUGAGGAAGGUCGGUGGGAGUGAACCGACUCCAGAUGGGGCCCACCUGUAGGUCGGUCGACCUGACCUUUGGCUGACUGUGGGUCCCAUAGACCUUCUAGAAGGUCCUUAGAUCGGUUAGAGGUUGGGCCAGGUGGCAUCACCCCAUAGGUCGGUCGGCUGACCGACCUUUGGGGCACUUGGCCCACCUCUGGCCUCCUGGUGGUAUCCCCACUUGUCAUGUGAAGUGUUGUCCAUAAUUGAGUCUAGUUGCACACUUGCUUGCUUUUAUAUAGGCCCAAGGAUCCAUGUGCUAAGGUUUUUGAACCGUUGAGGGCAAGCACACUUGGAUCCAAGGGUUGGGAAUGACUCCUUCGAGUAUGCCAUGGCUCAUGCCAUGGAGGGGAGCCCCUGGUGGGCCCAAACCCUGGUCGACCGACCUAGGUUAUGGGGCCCACAGGGCUCAUUUCCUUCUUCCCUGCAUUGAACAAGCUAAGAGUACAAGUGGAACUUUAUUAGUGAUAAAUAUGUUCAUGUGAUGCUUAUCUUCCUUCAAUCGAGGACUAUUGAUGGGCUUUUGAGUAUAUAGAACUGGGUCUUAUUUCCCGUCAACAAGAUCCCCCAAGCUUAACCUUUGCUCGUCCCGAGCAAACAAUGAAGACUUGGUUUGACUGGAUCAGGUAUUACCACUAAGUUAACAUCUUAAUAGUACUAAUUGCAAAACAAAGAGCUUCUCCUUGAAUGGCAAACUUAGCAAUGCUAGCACACCAAUGUUACUUUAGCACCCAUGGGGCAUAUAGCAUUAACUCAGUCUUAGGAUGUUGAGAGAUAGAACAACUUUGACUCGAAACCUACUUUUCUCAUUCUAAAGCAAGUUUCAUGCCAGAGGUUUUUGCUAUGUUUUUCAAAAGAAAUCUUAAUGUUCCUCAUAUUGUUUCUCUCAAGUCACUCAAGUGGUGUAUAAAUCCUUACCGAGGCAUAUGUGUCAGUUGCCUUCUCUAUGUAAUCCUACUAUAAUAAAGGCUUAUGUGGAGCUCAAGGUAGAAACAAGGGGAUGGCGUACUUACAUUGCAUAUGUUGUGAAGUCAAACCUCAGAUCCUUGGAGGAAGAGUAGUGUCAUGCUCGAGAUCAAGAUAUAUAUAGUGGAAAGGUAGUAUGAGUAUGAUGGCUAGAUGGCUCUUUUAUUUGAUUAUGCUAUCUCUAUAUUUUUUCUAUUGAGACAAGGCUAGCAUUUUUCUCUCUUUUUUCCUUUUUUUCAAGGACUUGAUGAUGUCUUUCCUAACAAGAAGACUAUUUUUCUACAGUCUUUGCUUUGUGUCUCAUCUAACAUUUAGCUAUUAGAGAGAGAUUCUACACUUAGAGCAUGGAGCAUGUAUAUUUGGUGGAAUGGAAUGGAAUGGUAUGGAAUGUUGCAUACUCCCAGUGUGAGAGCAGCAGAUGUAUGUGAAUGGUGUGGAUCUUGAUCUCACUGAGCAUGACAAGACUCCAAACCAAGGGUCAACAAGAGUUGACAUCUCUCAAUACAAGCAAGCAGCAUAUGUGCUAGGUUUCUAUCAUGUAGAGCAUAUAUGGCUUGUGGUAGGAAUUUAACACCAUUGAUGAACAAUUAAGUUUUUAUUCAUCUUAAAAAAUAAAUUCUCUGGCAAUCAUGCAUGCUUAGAACAAUAGUAUAGAUCUCUUAUCUUAGCUAUAUCAUGUCUCACAACAACUUAGACUUUGUUUUAGCACUUGCAACCCACUAAGUGUUCAAGUUCAUGAUGGUUAAGAAUGCUAAGUAAUCCAUACUUAGAGAAAUGCUAAUUUGUAAAAAAGUACUCGAGAGACAUUAACUAGCAAUUUCAUCAUCAUUUCCAUAGAAAGGAUAGCACACAUGAAGCAUAUAUAUAAAAAGGAAAUAAAGCAAAUAAAUAUUUUUGGUUUUUCUUAUUAUGCAAUAAGGAAACAAAUAAAAUGCAAAUAAGCAAGAAUUAAAUUAGGGGGUUUGGAAACUCACUUUGGAUAAACUUACCUUAGUGGGUGCGAGAAUCUCCCCCAAGCUUGCCUUCUUGCUCACUAGGGUGGUUGAUACCCAAACCAUUGGUCCCAUCGGUACUCACUCUUAGCUUGGAGGCUUUGUGCCAUGUCCAAGUUCUCUUGCAUGAGCUGCAAGGUGGUCUGCUAUCCGAUGUUGAUGUUCUCCAUAUCGCUGAUGAGUGUCUCCAUUUCUGACGGUGGUUGGCGCCUCCCCUUACCAAGUGGGUGAGGGGUGUGCGCUGCUGAAGACGUCCUAGAGUGAUGAGGUCUUUCCAUGUGCAUGGAGUUCACCUCAUCCUCCUAUUAUGGUGCAGCAUAAGAGGGACCAGCUUCCUGCCGAGCAGCACGGGUCCAUGCUCUCAUCAUCGUGUCUAUCCCUGCAACAAGGCUCUAUUCUCUCUUCCUAGCCUCAAGGUUAGUGAUGAAGCAUUAUACAACCAAAGGUUCUCAUCGUGAAGAGAGACUUCAAUAGGAUUGUUCCCAUAAAUCAUUUUAAGGCCAUUUCUAGCAUCUCUUUUAAUCAAUUAGCACUCUUAAGCAUCUGCUCACCUAAAAUAGAUCUAUCAUCCUAGAUGUACUCUACUUCAUUUGUUUCAAGCAAACCCAUAGAUUCAGCAAUUCUGGUGAUAAGUGAAGUAAAGCAUAGGGGCAUGCUAGGUGCAAUGGAGGAGAUCCAAAAAGGAACUAGCCAUUUGACAUGUGAAAUUUUGAUUUUGUUUACCAUGACAUAAAGGAUUUGCAAUUCUUUACAGCCUAUAUCAUCCAUACUAGGACCAGGGAAGAGAGUGACUAUGAUCCAAAUGUACAUGAAUCUUAAGGUUGGGUUAUGGAUUUGGAUAGGUCUAUGAACAGAGGGAUUAUUGGAGCAAGUAAUCAACUUCUAGAACUUGGCUAAGUCAAAAAUUUUGCAAAGCAUGAUCUAUGUCUAGCUCACAAUCUUGAUCAAAGCCUAGACAUGUACUCAGUUCACUCCAAGUUAAAUUGUAAUAUUUGUUGAACAUGCGAAAAGUUACUCCCGCAUCGUUUGAUUUUUGUGUGGCAAGAAAUUCUUGAGAGAGUACUUUUAUACCAAAUUUAGAAACUUGCCAAAAUCCACCCCAACCAAUGGCAUAAAAGACAUUAGGAAAGUCGGUGCUCAUACCUGAUUGGUCCAAGAGUUUCUCAUCAAAGACAACGGUGUGGUUGAAGCCGCAAGUGCGAAGGGUGUAGAGCUUCCCUAGCUCUUCAUGAGUGAGCAAGAGGUUGUCGUGGGGCUCCAAUAUCCUAUCAGUGGGGAUGAAGGGAACAAGUGUGUGCAGUUGUUCCUCCUCCACCCUCUCAUGGCUCCUACUCUCGGAGUGGUGAGAGCUCCAGGAUGAGCCAUCACCCUUCCUCUUCUUGGUGAGCUUGGCGGAGAUGAAUUUCUUCAUGCUAGCUUCGCAAGUUAACAAAAUAAGACCAAGCUUCCUACUAUACUACUAUGCCAAAGGGAAAUGUUAUUGGGUUUAUAGCUACUACUACAAUAAGGUUGAGAAGGCUCGGAACACUAAAGAGAAGAGAGAAGGCCAAGUGAGCUCGAGAUGAUUCUGCUGGUUGUGGUGUGGAAUUGAGCUCACAUUGGGGUGCUAUUUAUAGGGGUGAAAGGGCAUGGCUAGACCCCCCAUAGGGCAGGUCGGCCAACUGGGGUUCACCCCCUUUGAAGCAUGCCUUCAACAUUAGACAGGAAACCUAGCCUCGUGCUUGCAUAAAGUCACCAAGUGGGAGCAAAAGGAUGGUUGGUCGACCAUGACUUUUGCCGCCGACCUCUUUAAUCAUGAUAUGUUGGGUUGUCUGAUACAGAUGGUGGUGGUGCUGACCUAAAGUUGUUGCUGGUUGCCUCAGAUUCACAUGUUUAGUGUUUGGUGAAAGAGAAAAGGAGAAAGCAAAAGAGGGGUGUCGAGGUUGUCAAUAGGGGGUAUCCCAGCCAACACUCAUAACAAAGGGAUUCAUGAACGGAUCAAGGCUCUGACUCGAUACUCCAACGUAAAUAAAUGAUCACCGGGGCUAGGUGUCGAUCGCGACCUCGAACGCAGAAACAGGGUCCUGCGAAUUGAUGGGGGCUUGACGAACUGCGACAAUCGAAUGUGGGAGUGGCUCGAGCGUAAAAGCGCCUCCUGUUUGCCUGUCAUGGGUACGGAAGCCAGGGCAUUUGAUGCGUCUGCCAUGCGCCCACCAAACCGGACAGUCAUGGGGAACGUGAUAGGGAACAAGCAUUCGUCAAAUCUUACCUUUUUUCCAGCUUUAUCCCCCAAGAUGGAUAAAAGUACGACUUGGCAUGGUAUAGCAGACGUGAUGUCCCAUCAUGACACCCCUCGAGACACCUGAAGUCAGCGCUCUCAUAUAGCAAGGCCGCUUGUGCGACCUGACCCUCGAGCAGGCACAUUCGUUCUCAGGAAAGAAUCAGACGAUGGAAGUCAGUGCUUCAACCACCCCAGACGUGACUACUGCCGCGACGUACAAGCGUGCUCGCACCCAAGUCAAUCCAAGAUGAUGAACAGAAGCUCUUUUUCAGUUGUUGCAUAAUUAAGUUGAGCUUCUGUGAAAGUUUUACUGGCAUAAGCAAUUGCAUGAUGCUUCUUAUUUUUAGUUGGUCCCAAAACUACCCCACAGCAUAAUCACUAGCAUCACACAUAAUUUCAAAAGGUAACGACCAAUCAGGGGGUUGAAUGAUUGGUGCAGAGAUGAGUGCUUUCUUUAAUAAAUUGAAAGAUGUUAGACAUGCAUCAUCAAAUUCGAAAGGAGCAUCCUUGGCUAGCAAAAGAGUAAGUGGUCUUGCAAUGAAUGAAAAAUCUUUUAUGAAUCUGCGAUAAAAACCAGCAUGGCCAAGAAAGCUCCGAAUUCCUUUUAUAUUCACAGGUGGAGGUAGUUGUUCAAUUACUUCAAUUUUAGAUUUGUCUACCUCAAUACCUCUUUCAGACACUAGGUGUCCCAGCACUAUUCCUUCCCUAAACAUAAAAUGACAUUUUUCCCAAUUAAGGACUAAGUGCUUUUCUUCACAUCUUUGCAAAACCUUGUCUAAGUUUUCAAGACAACUAUCAAAAGUUUUUCCACAAACAAAGAAAUCAUCCAUGAAAACUUCCAUAAUCUCUUCAAUCAUAUCAGAAAAUAUAGACAUCAUGCAUCUUUGAAAAGAAGCUGGUGCAUUACAUAACCCAAAAGACAUUCUACGGUAAGCAUAAGUUCCAUAUGGGCAUGUAAAAGUGGUUUUGCUUUGAUCAUCGGGAUGGACCGGGAUCUGGUGAUACCCUAAAUAUCCAUCUAAGAAACAGAAGAACGAAUGGUUCGCUAAUCUCUCUAGCAUCUCAUCUAUGAACGCAUGGAAAAUGAUCCUUUCUCAUGGCUUUGUUUAGUUUUUUAUAGUCUAUGCACAUCCGCCAUCCUGUGACGGUGCGUUGCGGAAUUAGCUCGUUCUUUUCAUUCAUAAUGACAGUCAUGCCUCCCUUUUUAGGCACAACUUGUACUGGGCUCACCCACUCACUGUGCGGCACAGGAUAUAUAAUCCCUGCAUGCAGCAACUUUAUAACUUCCUUUUUAACUACCUCUCUCAUCGUGUUGUUAAGUCUAUGUUGGGGUUCUCAAGAAGGUGAAACAAAAGGAUCUGUUGGAAUACGAUGGGUACAAAUCAUAGGACUGAUUCCUGUAAGAUCUUGGAGUGAGUAGGCAAUAACUGAGUGAUGUUUCUCAAGAAUGGUCAUUAAUAGCAGAGCUUGCUCCUGAGUGAGUUUAUCACUAAUGAUCACAGGAAACUUUGGAUUAUUGUUUAGGAAAGCAUAGAUAAGACCGGGUGGUAAAGUUUUAAGCUCUAUGGGAGGUCUAGGCGUUUCCGCAAACUCAUCUAAGGGUUUAGGUUCACAAGGUUCAACUUCUUCUUCCAUGAAGAAAGGAGCUUCGUCUUCUAAGUCUGGUUCAUCUAAAAGCUCUAGAGAUGCAGCCUUUACCUCCUCCAUAGGAUCAGGCAAAAGAUAUGACUCAGCCUUAUUAUUUAAGGAGUGUGAAAUUGUUAUGCGAAUUUUAAAAGUUUUUUUUCCAAAAGAAAUGUGUAGCUUUCCAGUAUGACCUUCAUAAAGGAGUCUUUUAAAAGGUUGUCCUAUCAACAGGUCGAAGUCCCAUGUAUCAAAGAUAUAGAAGUUCAAAUGAACCAUGGAGCCUUCUACCGUAAGAGGUAGGACAUUAAUAAUUCCAAGACUGGGGACUAAUCAUCCCGAAGAUUCCGUUAUGACCUUUGUUGUGGGGGUUAAGACCAAAUUUUUAAAUAAUUGAAGUGCAAAAGAUUCAGACAUGAUGUUGAUCCCCACAACAGGAUUAUAGAGAGCAUCAAAUCGAUCAGAAUCAUAAGCACAGCGUAUAGUUAUAGAGGGUGUGUCCAAACGGAUCACCUCAGAGGAAAGCUCUGAUUCCUCCAACCAUUCGCUACUCAUGACUGAGAUAAGCUCUCUCAAUUGAUGUUCACUUGGUAAACAAAUGCUAAAAUGGCCGUUUUGGGGUCUAUUAGUAGAAUGGUAGUUUGAAAUAUUUCCAAAAACGGCAAAAAGAUCAGAUUCUAUAUCAGGAGAGGUAUUCCUUCGAGGGCUCCUCUCAACUCUAUGAUGAACCUGUUCUCCUCCAGGGGCCAGGGGGUCUGGUUUUAUAGUCCCCUCAGGUAAACAUUGGCCGUUGGAUCAAACCGACAUUGAUUGUUAUCCUUGAUCCUUUGGACGUGAUUGGGCAGAACUCUUGGGCGACCGCCCUAGGGGGGUGGGCGGCCGCCCUGCCCCCGGGCCCGACUACCUUCCCGUUCGUUCCCGUGGCUUCUGGAUUCUUCUAGAUGGUAGAAAAUUGCGCGGUGCGUUGAUAUCUCUAUGUAAUCCCGACAUGUGGGCCUUUCUUCCUUAUUUCCUGAUAACCCCCUACAGAAAUAGAUAGACAACAAAACUCAUGGAAUUCUGUCAGAUCAAACCCUAAUUCUAGGUGUUGUUUGUAUAUUGGUCCUUUCCCUUGUUUAUUUGAUAAUUAAAAUUGAUACUUAAGAACCGUCAACAGCCACCACCAUCAUCACAUCCAAUUCUUACAGAUGGCUAUGACCUCGACCCUAAUCUAAUAGCCAUGAUUCAGGAGCAACCCUUCUCUGGGCAAGUAGAUGAAGAUCCAUACAACCACCUUAGAGAAUUCGAGCAGUUGUGCUCUUGCCGAUCUAUUUCUGGCAUGACACAAGAAACCCUUAAAUGGAAAUUAUUUCCGUUCUCCCUUUUGGGAAGAGCAAAAAAGUGGUAUGCUUAUUCUGUAGGAGGCGUUAAUGGAAAUUGGGAUGAUCUUCAGGACAAAUUUUGUCUCGCUUUCUUCUCACUUUUUCGAAUCACUGACCUUAGAAUCAAAAUUCUUACAUUCAAACAAAGAGAGAAGGAAACUUUAGGAGCAGCUUGGGCUAGGUUCACAAGCCUUAGCAAUUCCGGUCCAAACCUUUCCCUGCCUAACCAUGUAUUGUACUACCACUUUUAUCGUUGUCUAAACAAGGAAGCUGCUCUUCACAUCGACAUUGCUUCAGGAGGCUCAUUCACACAAAAACUAACAGAGGAGGGGAGAGCUAUCCUAGGGAGAAUCCUUGAAAAUACCCCUUACACAGGCAUUUAUGAUGAGUUUCCUGAAGAAGAAAAAGAAGUCAAGCCUGAUCCUAAACCAAAAGAUGAGGAACUUGCAACCGAGUUAGAAAUUCCACCUGACCCAUCUAUUAAUUUGGUUGUAGAGAAACCUCGUGAUAAGGGAAUGCAAAACCAACUAAGGGAUGAUGAACCACCACCUUUAGAGCAACCCUUUGAAUUCGAGGAUGAUCUUUUUGAAGAUUAUGGAAACACCUCGAAUUUUCCUAUCGAAACACGACCUCUAGCAGGGACCACUCAAUCCGUUCUAAAAGUAGAAUCUGUUCACAUAGAACACAUCAAAAGCCUUUUGGCUAUAACAGAAGCUGAGCUAUCUCCUGGGGUAGCUCGAAUCAUCACUCCUUCAACCAUUCUUCUGUGCCAAAUAAGAGGCUCUGCUAGGAAGGUCCACUACAAUCCAUAUGUUGGGAUAAAUGUUAUUUCCAAGGAGUUAGCUGACACUCUUUAUCCCAACGAGUCCAUAACCCCAUGUCAGAAACUUUUACAAAGUCCAUCUAGAUUAAUACUAUAAAGCCAUGGGGUAUUAAGGGUAGUUCCUGUUAGAAUCAAGGACUCUUGAAUAUGUCUAGAUUUUCACAUUUUUGACAUACCAGAGAUUCCUCUCUUGAUUGGCAGACCAAUCAUGAAACUUCUACAAGGACAACCACAACGAGGUCAUUUAGACUUCAAGGUUGGGAAUUCCACUAUUGUUGUUCCUCUUGCUAGAUCGAUUAACAUGAUAGUGGAACCCAAACUUGAACCACAUCCUAUUGAGGAGAUCUUAAUGCUGACUCAAGAGGAGAUGGCCCAACCAUUCUUUAAUCAUGAACAACUUGUUCAAGAAGAAGAAGAGUUGGUAGAACCCGUUGAGCUAAACAAAAAUGAACAACACNNNNNNNNNNNNNNNNNNNNNNNNNNNNNNNNNNNNNNNNNNNNNNNNNNNNNNNNNNNNNNNNNNNNNNNNNNNNNNNNNNNNNNNNNNNNNNNNNNNNACCUUCAGAAGGUGAAUGUUGUUCAUUUUUGUCUAGCUCAAUGGGUUCUACCAACUCUUCUUCUUCUUGAACAAAGUGUUCAUGAUUAAAGAAUGGUUGGGCCAUCUCCUCUUGAGUCAGCAUUAAGAUCUCCUCAAUAGGACCUUGUUCAAGUUUGGGUUCCACUAUCGUGUUAAUGGAUCUAGCAAGAGGAACAACAAUAGUGGAAUUCCCAACCUUGAAGUCUAAAUGACCUCGUUGUGGUUGUCCUUGUAGAAGAUUCAUGAUUGGUCUGCCAAUCAAGAGAGGAAUCUCUGGUAUGUCAAAAAUGUGAAAAUCUAGACAUAUUCCUGAGUCCUUGAUUCUAACAGGAACUGCCCUUAAUACCCCAUGGCUUUCUAGAAUUAAUCCAGAUGGACUUUGUAAAAGAUUCUAAGAUGGGGUUAUGGACUCGUUGGGAUAAAGAGUGUCAGCUAACUCCUUGGAAGUAACAUUUAUCCCAACAUAUGGAUUGUAGUUGACCGUCCUAGCGGACCCUCUAAUUUGGCACAGAAGAAUGGUUGAAGGAGUGAUGAUUCGAGCUACCUCAGGAGACAGCUCAGCUUCUGUUAGCCAUUCAUAACCUAGAAUAGCCGAAAGGCUUUUGAUGUGUUCUAUGUCAACAGAUUCUACUCUUAGAACGGAUUGAGUGGUCCCUGCUAGAGGUCGUGUUUGGAUAGGAAAAUUCGAGGUGUUUCCAUAAUCUUCAAAAAGAUCAUCCUCAAAUUUAAAGGGAUGCUCUAAAGGUAGUGGUUCAUCACCCCUUAGUUGGUUUUGCAUUCCCUUAUCAAGAGGUUUCUCUACAACCAAAUUAAUAGAUGGGCCAGGUGGAAUUUCUAACUCGGUUGCAUGUUCCUCAUCUUUUGCUUUAGGAUUAGGCUCGACUUCUUUUUCUUCUUCAGGAAACUCAUCAUAAAUGCCUGUGUAAGGGGUAUUUUCAAGGAUUCUCUCUUGGAUAGCUCUCCCCUCAUCUGUGAGUUUGUGUGUGAAUGAGCCUCCUGAAGCAAUGUCGAGGUGAAGGGCAGCUUCCUUGUUUAGACCACGAUAAAAGAGGUAGUACAAUACAUGGUUAGGCAGGGAAAGGUUUGGACCGGAAUUGCUAAGGCUCGUGAACCUAGCCCAAGCUGCUCCUAAAGUUUCCUUCUAUCUUUGUUUGAAUGUAAGAAUUUCGAUUCUAAGGUCAGCGAUUCAUAAAAGUGGAAGAAAGCGAGACAAAAGUUGUCCCAAAGUUCAUCCCAAUUUCCAUUAACACCUCCUACAGAAUGAGCAUACCACUUUUUUCCUCUACCCAAAAGGGAGAACGGAAAUAAUUUCCAUUUAAGGGCUUCUUGUGUCAUGGCGGAAAUAGAUCGGCAAGAGCACAACAGCUCGAAUUCUCUAAGGUGGGUGUACGGAUCUUCAUGUACUUGCCCAGAGAAUGAUUGCUCCUAAAUCAUGGCUAUUAGAUUAGGGCCGAGGUCGUAGCCAUCUGUAAGAAUUGGAUGUGAUGAUGGUGGUGGCUCUAAUAACUCGCCCUUUAGAGCAAAUAAUUCAUAGAUAGGAGUGAAAUCCAUGUGGUAUGGUGAAAAUGGUAAGGUGAGUGUGGUAAAAAAAGGAAAAGAAAAAGGAUACACGGACGACUUGGUUCGAAACUAGCACAGCUACCGCUCCCAGGCAAGGGCGCCAGAAAGCUUGUUGGGUAUUUUAAACGCAAACAGAAAAAUCCGCAAGCGCACGGAUACUGAUGUAGCUUUCACCCAGGAGUAUUCCAGAGUAUCAAUUUUCCACAUGGAACGUGAGUGUACUAAUUAAGAUUCAAGAUCGCCCAAGGAUAACUAUAUAACUAUUUUUGGUGGGAAGAGAAGAAGUUUCCUGAGAGUUCUCUAGUUGAUCUAAGAAUCAAGAAUUACUUCAAAGAUUAUUUAUUUUGGGACAUCAGAACACUAACCAUAGAAAGAGAUGAGAAGGGGCUAGGAAGCUCUGACUACGGUCCUACAAACACCGAUCCGAGCGAGGUGGAAUACGUCGACCGUUAGGGCUGUCACUACCCUAGGGCUACCACAACAAUCCGCAGGAUUGGGUGCAAUUCCAGGUAAUUGCAAGACUAAACACCACGUCUAAUCUAUUAAUUACUACUCUAGCAUUAUAAAGACUAGAGCACUUGAUGCAAGCGAGAAUCCAGUAAAUAACUUGAAUGUAAAUAACCUGAUUGGCUCUUGUAGCUGGGCAGGCGCCAAAGGGGGGAGGGCGGGCACCCUGCCCCUGAGCCCGCUCGGCCUCCUGUGGCUUCUGGAGUCUUCUAGAUGAUAGAAAAUUGCCGCACACGUUAAUAUCUCUAUGUAAACCCGAUGUGUGGGCCUUUCCUCCGUAUUUCCUGAUAACCCCCUACAAAAAGAGACAAACACCAAAACUUGUGGAAUUCUGUCAGAUAAAACCCUAAGUCUGGGUGUUAGUUGCAUUUUGAUCCUUUUCUUUAUUUAUUUGAUGACUAUAUUUGGUACUUAAGGACCGUCAACACCGACUGAUCCGGUUUGCCGAUACUUUUGGAUAUAUCCUGUCCAACCGCCGAUGUUGAGGGUGUUCUACUUUGUAAUCAGGCUUUCUAUUGAAGAGACUACCAUCAUUGGCAGUUGAGAUGUCUAGGCCUAUAAGCAUGAGCACAUCGGCAAGACUAGGGGAUGCUGGGCCAUGACCAAACAUAAAAGUAUUCAAGGUAUCUGACCAGAAAUAGGAGGUUGCUAUCAUCAUCGACUCAUUUUUCUCCAUAUCAGCGAUGGAGAGUCUGAUGCAUUGAUCCAAUUUGCAUUCUACCCAGUAUACCUCGUUAGCCCCACUAACUCUCAAAAAUCAAUCCUUCCAUUCCUUAGUGGUUUUUGGCCAGGAUCGGAAGGUGUCUUUCCAUAGAUUUAGAGAAAAGUUUUCAGCUCUCAAAGGGAUUCUAUUGUUUUCUGCGUUUAUUAUAUCGGUUGGAUCUGGGUUACCCAUCGGACGCAAACAUUGAACGUGUGGUUGAUCAGUUGGAAUAAAUAUUUUGUUGCUCAGUUAAGUUUGAAAGAUUAGAAAGAAAAGAAAAGAAAAGAAAAGGAAAAUACUGAGUGUAUGAACUUGCAAAAAUAAAGGGAGCUACGGUAGGAAAAAGAGAGGAUAGAAAUAGGAUUAACCUUGGGUACGUUGAAGUUGAUGGCCAUUUCUUCCAAGUGAGAUGAAGAUGAGACCAGGGGCUUGAAGGUCCUGUCUUGACGGUCCUGCUGUAGAAGAGCUUUUCGCUAUCAAAGUUCUGGAUUUCAUCAUUAAGGUCGUUGCUAGAAGAGAUGAGAUUGGACAUAGCGGAUGGCAAGGUAGAAGAUGAGUGCUAGGGAAGGAAGUAUUUAUAAUUUGAGUUGAGUGGGGGCAUUUUAGACUUAUGUCUCUACCACAUCCGUAAAAUUUGAGGUUGUUCAGAUGGAUUUGGUAACUAUUCGCACGACAAUCAAGGAAUUGGACAAACGAUUUGAUGGCAAGUAAUCAUGAUCUUGAAGAUAUUCUAUUGUGCGCAAUAUUUUAACAAACCAUUGGCAGCAUAUCUUGAUGUCAAAUCUUUACCGAUGGGCGGUUUUCCCUAUGAAUUAGCAUUGAUCGGGGUGUGGGUGGUUGAGAGAUCUAUGAUGUUUACUGAGAUGCAAAGAUCAAGGCUGAGUUGGUUUGGAUUUGGUCAUAGAUUUUUACUAGAAGGAAAGUAGUUAUGAAAAGGUCAUCAUUAUCUAGAGUAAAUUUUGAAGCAUUAAUGAUUUUAUACUCCAAAAUUGGGGGGCAUGUGUUGACACCAUUUUUUGGUAUAAGUCAAGAUGAUUAGGGAGAAGUAAUUGGUAGUAGGGAGGUUGCUCUGCUAGAUUGAUAGGAGAAUGUCGAUAGCCGAUACAAAUGAUGCCGAUGACAGGUGAUGGUUGGUGGAAAGAUUUUGUUAGCUCGGGGUUGAAAGUGAUAUCUACUGGUUGUUUGUUGGUACCCCUUAUCUUAUAAUUAUAAACAUCAUUUUAAUAAAUAAAAUAAAUAGAUGGUAGGGCUUUGAACUAACCUUUCCACAAGUUUUGUUGCAAAUAUCAAUUUCAGGUAUGACACGUGGAAAGGCGCAAAAGACACGAGAAAGCGCACUUCAAAAUAGCGUAUUCAGAAAAGGCAGAAAUCAAAGAUAAAUGGGAAAGCCCACCAAAACACCGAACUGGAUCCAUCCGUAACCACGGGAAGGAUCAGGGCCCAGAGACAAAACGACCACGCGAAUGCGGUGGCCAGGGGGGCCCACCAGUGGUGCGGCCGCACCCCCUUUGGCGGCAACUAGGUCUCAACUUUUUCAGGUGGUUGCAUGGCGGCAUGCAUAGGACGGUUUCACCUCCUCCCAAAUUUAGAUCACCAUGAACCGUCCUUGUUGGGAAAUAAAUAGAUGGCUCCACACCAUUCAACACACACACCAUCAUUUGGAGCAAUACACCUCACAUUUCUACACUUGUUCUUUAGUUUAGAUUUAGUAGUAGAGCAAGGCAAAUCUAGCAAGGAGAGCUUGUCUCAUUGGAGGAUCUUAGAGAUUCUUGGUACGAAUACAAUUCAGUUCUCCUCCAUGAGCAAGUUCUUAUCUUAUUUAUAUGAUUAUGCAAUUGAAUUAGAGUAUAGUUGUGUUCAUAUCUUGUUCAUAGUAUAUGAACUAGUUCUUAGUUCUUGUGUUAUGUUCUUGAUGUGUUCAUGCUUAUUCUUUAUCGUUCAUCAAAUUAGUAUGAAUAGACAAAGGAUUAAGAUUGGGGUAACGGUUCGUUGGGCUGUGAUGGCCACUCUUAGCCGAGCCUGUCAAUCCGAAGGGUUGGGGUCCCGGGAGGCUAGGAGGCGUUUCCAAUUACACGGGCGAGGUGCUCGGGUAUGCGGAGAUCAGCGGAUCCGUAGGUAUCUUUCGGGUAGAGGGGUAGGUGGCAGGGUAGUGACAGCCCUGUCAUCCCUGGUAUUCCCCCACAAUCAGGUAUUCCGAUAGGAGUUCUGUAAAGUCCCUAUCGGCUGGAUGUCCAGCUGCGGGGAUCUCCCCAGAGCCUCAGACUUAGUUCUAACUCUAGUUAUAUUAAUUAGAUGUUCUACUAACAAUUCUUUGCAUAGUUAUAUAAGAUCAAUGCCGGCUCAAGUAGUUGUUCUUUAUUUCUUUUAUUUCCUUAUUUUCUCUUUAUUCCUUGAGGUUGCCCUGAUGAGUGUGUCCACUAUCCAUAUUUUAAGAGCCUGCCGUGACCCCUGAUUAGACUAUGUCUACCUAUGCAUCUCAAUAAGUGAUCAUGCUACAAACCAAGCUAGAUGCAUUUGUUACGCCCUCCUACGGGAUUAAAUACGAUAACCCUUGAAUACUCAUGGGUUGAAAUGCUACAAUGAUAGUUCUGUUCGCUUGCAGUUUUAUUCUUUAUAUUCAUGAACUAUUGAUUGGUGUACCUAAGUGUCACAGAACCGACCAAAUUAUAAGAGUUCAAGUGCAGAAACGAUCGACCAGCAAUCAAGUUUCCAAACUUGAGCCCAUAUAAUCCCGGUAGUCAAUUGAAAUCACGAAGGACUUCAAACCAACUCGCAACAAACCAAGAUCGUAAUAGUUCAACAUAAACACAACGAAUGUUACAUAGUCAUACAUUGCCGUCGAAGCGGCACCACAUCGGAGUAUUAAGUUAUUCCAACACUUGUUCGAAAUAGCGGAAGCAAAAUAGUUACACACACAUUCCAAAGUUCAGUUCAUAAGUUCAGGUUACUGCCAGAGUCUACACCACCCUUCCAAAAGCAACAGGUACGAAGUUGUUAGAGAACCGUGCCCAACGGUUAAUCCUCAUCCCCAGCGGGAUGGAGACAGGUCUUGCAGAAACCGUCAUAGAAGAUGUCAUCUGCAACAGGUGGGUGUUGACGGUCCUUAAGUACUAAAAUUAAUAAUCAAAUAAACAUGAAAAAGGAUCAAUAUGAAACAAACAUCUAGAAUUAGGGUUUUAUCUGACAGAAUUCCACGAGUUUUGGUGUUUAUCUAUUUCUGCAGGGGUUUAUCAGAAAAUAUGGAGAGAAGGCCCACAUGUCAUGUUUACAACGAGAUAAUUACGUGCCGCGCAAUUUUCUUCCAUCUAGAAGGAUCUAGAAGCCACGGGAACGAACGAAAGGCGAUUCGGGCUCGGCGGCUGGGCGCCCGCCCACCCCCCUUGGGCGCCCGCCCUGGCCAGGAAGCCAAACAGGACUCUGCUUCGCGGCAAGACUCCACCGACCUAAAGGAUCAAUCUAAACCAUACAAUCUAUGUCAGUUUGAUCCAAUGGCUCACGUUCACUUGAGGGGACUAUAAAACCAGGCCCCGUGGCCCCUGGAGGAGGAGAGGAGAAAUCAUUAUUCAGAGGUAGCCAUCAAAGUUAGGGUUUAGAUCUCUCUCCCACAGAGAAUUAGAAUUAGCUACUCCCUAAUCCUUCAAGUUUAGAGGUUGAUUAGAUAGCAAUUAGAGAAGUAGAGCACUACGCUCUGGAUUCGGAUCUUCGGUAAUAAAGAUUGGUAUUAUUCAUAUCUUUCUCUAAUUCUAUUGUUCUAAUUGCAUUAUGUCUCUAAUUAUUAUGUUCUUAGUUUGCUCUAGUUCUAUAUUUGAUAUAGUUCUAAUUGAUAAUGAGUUUAUGUAUAAGUUUGCAAAGCGCUUAGCUCUUGACGCGAGGGAGUUAGGUGAUAGAUCACAUGUGAGCGUGGUGCUUAGAUGUUAUUUAUCUGCAAAUGUAUUCUAUUGGCCGGGUCGUGUGGUAGUUCGCGAUAGUGACAGCUUCGUUGAUUCUUAUAUAGUCCACCCUCCGUUGAUAGGACAGGCAGAACCGGUAUUGUGGAGUAAGUCAUGCGAUGCUCUGAUUUACUUUAUCAAUGUUCCUUAUACAUGAAUGAAGAGUCUUUUAUGCUAUAUAUGAUCUUGUAGAUAACUAGAGUAGAUUAUGACUUAGUAGUUAGUGGAUAACUUAGAAUCCAUUCUCUAGCUAAUCCGACAUCACCUACAUAUAUGAGUAGUCUAUUUUCUAAUCGCUGUGCUAUCUACCCAUGAACUUAUACUUUAUUAUCAUUAUCUUUAUGGUUUACCCCCUGCUAAAGUAAGUGACUGUGUGACAAGUUUCUCAUUAGUAAUCAUGUUCUUGCAAGUUUAUCUCUAGUCUAUCUAAGUGGUGUUAGCUAGUGUCAACAAGCAUUUCUGGCGCCGUUGCCGGGGAAUUAUAGGAAUUAUAUGAGCCUCAGGAAUAAGUCAUAAAAGGGAACAAAAGGGUAAUAUUAAGGAAAGCCAAAAAAUCAAUCAAGGUUAUUCAUAUAAAAUAUUAGACUAGACUAUAGAGAAAUAAUUGCAUAAAAACAGCUACUAAGUGAGAAAUCGUAACAAGGCACCUCUGCUUUGGCAGGUUCACCCUGUUGUUUUUCUAUGUUUAUAUUUUUAUACAGGGUAUAACAGGAUUGACUCUGGGUACAUUCAACUCUUCAUCAUCAGAACCAAAGCAAUCAAGAGAAGAAGAAGCUAGCUACCAAUUGUUGAAGCUAUGGCACAAAAGACCUUGCAAGAAUUCUCUGCUCCAAGUCUUGAGAACAUUCCAAUCGGUCCAAGAUUUGCAGUAGAAGAAGGAAUACCCGAGUUUGAGCUCAAGUCAAGCCCCAUCAAUUUGGUGCAAGCUACACAAUUCAGUGGAAAGGCACAUGAAGAUGCCAGUGCACACUUGCAGAAUUUCUUAGAGAUUGGAAGUACAAUCCACACUAACGGAGUUGACAAAGACGUCAUACUGCUUCGCCUUUUUCAAUUCUCACUAGAAGGGAAAGCGAGGAAGUGGUUCUACACUCAUCAAGAUAACAUCAACAACUGGACGAACUUGUCAGAUGCCUUUCUAUCAAAGUUUUUCCCUAUAGGCAAAACAACUGCCUUAAGAGGAAAUAUUGUCAGUUUCCAACAGCAGAAGACAGAAGCCAUUUCAGAAGCAUGGGAGCAUUUUCAAGGAUACAUAUCAGACUGUCCUCACCAUGGAAUGGCUACAUGGUUACUUAUGCAGACCUUCUACCAUGGAUUAACCCAGAAGACUCGUGAGUGCCUAGAUGCAUCUGCUAAAGGAUCAUUCUUGGAGCUUACAACUGGAAAAGCAGAGAUACUUUUGGAUAAGAUAGCAGAAAACCAAAGCUGGUUCCAAGAUAAAGCUCAACAAUGUCAUCAAACUGAAGAAAUACCAGAAGAAGUAAAUGCAUUAUCAACUAAGAUGGAAAAUUUGCUCCAUUGGAUUGACCAGAGGGCCAAGUUCAAGGAAGACCAAAGGGCCAUUGAGACAGCAUAUAAAUAUCAACCAACUUCGAGUCAACCCAAUAGCAAAGGUAUGAAUUCAGGUAAUACUGUCAAGCAACUUUCAUUAAAAGAGAUAAUUGCUCAACAAACCAAAAUUAAUGAUGAAGUUAAACAAAGGCUAGAUACAAAUGAAUCAUCUCUAAAAGAUAUACACAAUAAAAUGGAUUUUCUACUAACUGCCUUUGAUGAGCAAAACACUCUUAAUAAAAGGGUAGAGCUUAAAUUAAUAAAAUUAGCUGCUGCACUGCCUGUUGCUACUAACAUUGAGCAGGUAAAGAAUAUAACUACUAGAGGAGGUAAAGCUACCAGAGAUCCACCAUACCCAAACGAGAAACAAAGAACAUCAGCACCAGUGCAACCAGCAGUGAUAGAAGAAGAAUGUAACAGAACCGUCCAAUUUAUAAGAAUUCAAGUGAAUUAGCGACCACGGAGGCAGUCAAGCCAAUGGACUUGAACCCAUAUAAACCCGGUAGUCCGACGAAAUCUCAAAAGAUCUCGAUUCAACCAACAUACAACCAAGAUCGUACAUGAUCAAGCAUCACCAUCACAGAUUACAACAUUCAUCACAGAACAUAGUUUUACAUCACAUCAGAGUUUAAAGUGGUUACUACAAACCAUAGCGGUAGCGGAAACAAAGUAGUUUUGAACAACACCAACUUAGUUUAUAAUACAUGCUAGUUCCAUGGUCAAGUCCCAACAAAAGCACAACUGAAGAUAAAGGUGGUGAUCACGCCCAUGAUCUAUUCAUCAUCCGCGGCCGGGUGUUGACACUUAGCACAGUAGCCGUGAUAAACGACGUCAUCUGCAAUAGGGGUAAAUAAAACCCUGAGUACGAGAAUGUACUCAGCUAGACUUACCCGUCAUAAACCAGAAAUAAAGUGACACCAAGGAGUAUGCAAGGCUGAUCUCUGUGGACUGGUUUGACUCAUCUUUUGCAUAAAAGCGUUUGUUAUAAGUAACUCAUUUAUUAAAUUCAGCAGCAAGUUUAUUACUUAGCAACUAUCCACUAGAUUAGCACCUGUUCUAAGCAUACACUUGAGUUUUAAGCAUUACAAUAAUAACCAUAUCCGGAUUAUCACAUAGCCAUCACCAUUCUCAUCAUAACCAUUAAGUUUAUUUAGUAAAUUCUACGUUGCCGCUGCCCAAGUCAAGUUCUCACUAUCUGGGAGAGACGGCGAUUCGAAUCGAUUCCUAUCCAGCUGGAGGGGUAUUCCUAACACUCACCCAAGCAUACUUCAUGACGGCAGCUCGGAUCACCUUUAGCACAACUCCGGACCAAUUCGCGGGUCCGUACGGCGCCGCACCCCCAGGGACCGCCAAUCUGCCAGGGUCAGGACUCUAACCUGACACCUCGGUCUUACGCCAUUGACUCCCCGCACAUCCUUACUACCAACCGGGGUGCGCACUUUAACCAGAUCGGGGUAUCCGGCCGGAGUUGCACUCGUAGGCUUCGCGGUCGGAACGACUUAUCCGGCCAACUAAGUGAUAGGCAUGCGUUCAACAUGACACGGGGACGUACAGCGAUUCGGUCCUUAAACGACACAGACGGGGAUAGGUUCACACCCAAGACCUCCAUGCCUUGUUGCUGCACUAUCGUCAUCCCGCCCGGUCUCAAAUUCAUUAUUAACACAUGGUUAUUUCCACGAUAGCAAAUAUAGCCAACCGUGAUCAUCAUCCACCUAACUCUCGCAGGUGACAGGAAAUCACCCGGCUUCUACCGAGCUAAGCAUGGCUAAGCAUUACUUCGAUCCUGGACCUACUUUGGUAUUGUUUAAGGUGGACAAGGUAGUCAUUAUGCAGCAAGGGUGUCAUAUCAACGCCUACCACUUAAUGCAACAAUAUAUAACCAUAGUCAUUUGAUAGCUGAACAUGAUAAUAAAAUAGUAGGAGGCUUAUAAUGCUCCGGGGCUUGCCUUCGACGUAGGUAGAGGGACGAUGGUCAGGGCACUCCGGCAAGUCCUCCUCCUCCUCAGCUCCUUGAGGUAGCUCCCUUUGCUGUUCUUCCGGCUCCGGCAGCUCGUACUCCAACACGGUCACGCCCUUGGGUACACCUAUGUAUGCAUGACAAGGACAUGAAUAUAGAGAAUGCACAAAUGAUGCAUGAUGUCAUGAUGAAGAGCCAAAGGGACAUAAAACAAGGUAUAACAUGAGCAUAAGCUUCUAAGAUUAAGUGAAUCAUGGAACAACAAGUAAGUGCAUACCUCUUCUCUGAUAGAGAGACUAAAUAGACAAGUUAACAAAUCCUAGUUAUGCCUACUCAGCCACUGGUUUAGUAGACAAACCAACCAGUCACAAGUAUCAGCCAUAACUCAAGCAUCUGUUAACCAAAUUAAGCAAGUAAGCACUUUCUGGAAAGCUUAGUAAAUUGUCUACAAAUCACUUUUAGACAUCCCAGGAUGAUUCCCAACCAAAAUAUGCUAAAACAUACAAAGUUGACUGGCUGCUCUGGAAAUUUCAGAGAGCAAGCACUUUGCAGCAGCUACUUGAAACAUGCAUAACUUUCAAACUACUCAACCAAAUGCCAUGAAAUUUGGAAACGAAGUACAUCAGUAAGUUAGCUACAAGUUUGUUGUAGACAAGUUUCCCAGAAAUUAACAUCUUUAAUUAGUUCUCAAGCAUUUGCUAUCAGCUACACAGAAAUGCUCUAGGAAAGGUAUAAAUAGCCAAAAAUAAUAUUUUGCACAUGUUGAGAAUGUAUCAAAGGAAUAAUCUAAUUGCACCAGUAGGUACAACAUAUCUAAGAAACACCAGAAAAUAUCAUGGCAAGGUCUAAAACUAUUUCUAUCAUCACCUUUUCCAUUUAUUUAAUUAUUAAGGUGAUUUAAUGAACAUAUACUCCAAGUGUUCCAAAAAUUCUAAGAACAUUACAGCAAGCUACUUAUGCUAACAUAAGAUCACUGAAAAAUUUUCAGAACAUUUGCAAAUACAGAUUGGGAGAUACAAAAACAACAAGCUAGUAAAGGCAUGCAAGGCAUAAAUAUGAAACCUUAUCAAAAAGUGUCAAACAGCAGAUUUCAGAUUUUUCUUAGCCUUGUUUACACAUGAGUACAACACUCAGCAAGUUUCAUCACCAAAGGAGUUAUAACUUAAUUAUUAAAAAUACCACAAGAAACCCCUAUUUAAGCAAGAACUAUUUUUUAACUUCACAACUAGGCUUCCAAAAAUCAUGAUAAAUUUAUCAGAGCCUAGUCAUAACAUAGCUAACAACACCCUAAAUUUGCAUGGCCAGCAGAUCAAUAGAUUUCAAGAUAUAAUUACCUCCUAUUUAAUCAAGAUUAAAUCAUAUCUAUUUAUUUCUACAAAAACAUGGCAUGUUUCAUAUUUUUAAUAGCUAAUAUCCACCAAGAGGAAGCUAACAAAAUUGGUUUCACUCAAAACGGAUCCCUGUAGCUUGAGAUAUUGAAUUUACAAACUUCCAAAAGAAAAACAUAGAAAAGAUUAAAACGAAAAUAACCAAACCCUAAGAACUACUACACGCACCCAGUGCUGAGUACCCCAAAGGCUGGCAGCUGGGACCCAAGGUCAAUCUGGACCCACACGUCAUAAGGACAAAAACAGGGGAGCUACUUUGACCGGCCAUAGCUCGCCGGCGGCGAACUUUCCGGCGACGCGACCACCACCAACAGACUCCUUCCAUUGAGACGCAUCUAUCAGGAUAGGUUACCGAGGAAACGCAUCGACUUUCACAGAACGGCAAAGCAAGAGGUGGCUCCCGUACGUACGCAGCACGGCUGCAGGCCAUGGCACCCGCCUGCGGCCAACUUGGCCGAAGGCCGGUCAUGCGAGCGGCCGCAGCCCUACUUUACUGAGAACGAGAGGGAUAGAGAGUAGCGAGAGGUGCCGGACGCAAUGGCGAUGCACGAGCUUCACCUCAGCAACAUCCAUGGCGGCGGCGGCUGUCCUCUUUGGCCUUGGCGACGAGUACGAUGUGGACGAACAGGUGGGCGAUUGCCUUGGCGGAGUCGCACGGCGCUCGGCUUUAUUCGUAGCUAUGUGGGGCCAAUAUCGACGCACGGCAUCCACGCGGCGCAAGCCAAGCAGAGCUGGUCGACCACGACCCGACUCCAACCAAAUCGAAGUCUGAUCAGAAACCAGCAAAAGUACUGCAAAAAUACGUCUGAACUCGAAACUUCGCUGCCCUCCAACUCCCAAACCAGUGCGAACUAGCAAAAACUUCAGUGACACAAGUUGGAGAGCUGAAUGAGUACUCCAACUUUGAUUAUAAGAGUUUGGUCUAGUUCAGCUUAAAUUAGAAACUACGAGCUGCCAAAGUACCCUACACGUAAACUGGCAUUCAGUUUCGUCAGUUCCCACACUUAGCCAAAAACUGCCAUGUCCAAACAGCCCCUAAAUUUACCUUGUGUGCAUUUUUUUGAGCAUGUUCUGCACAGUUUCAUGAGAUGGCCUUAAAACAACUUUUGUAGCCUAUAAAAUUUUCUACAACUUGGCUUUAGGGGUCAUUGACAUGCAAGGUUUCUAACACAGGUUUCAUAAAAGAUCUUUAAAAAGAGGUUUAGGAGGUCAACUAGGUCAACCUAGGGCUAACCAUGACUUAGGGGCAUUUUUGGGUGCAACCUCCAACAUGAACUAUGUUCACAAUGAUGUUCUAAACAUGAUUAAAGUAUUUUGGACAAGAUCGCACACUUACAUGUAUUGAUCACCCACUAAAGUCACUCAAAACAAGUCACACAAGCAAUUUAAUCACAUAGUGCAUGUAGUAGAUGGCAUGUGAUCAUGGUAUGAUGCUCAUGAGUGAUCAUGAUGAUGCUUAUGUUGAUGCAAUGCUCAUGGUUAACAUGCAAGCUAACAUUAGGAGUGUUACAGCCCUCCCCCCUUACAAAAAUCUCGUCCCGAGAUUUGAAAGACGUACCAUUUUUCGUAGAAUGAGGGAUAAGUUACUUGUAAAUAGUCUUCCCUUUCCCAAGUGGCAUCUCUCUCAUUUUGACGGUUCCACAAAACUCUAAAAAGUUUGAUCACUCUCCCACGAGUAACCCGUUCCUUGACAUCAAGAACUUGCACAGGCUUUUCUUCAUAAGAUAGGUCUGACUGCAACUUGAUAUCUCUUGUUUCAACUCUCUCUUCGGGCACACGAAGACACUUCUUGAGUUGAGACACGUGGAAUACAGGGAAAAUAGCUCUCAUUUCGGGAGGUAGUUGUACUUUGUAAGCUACCUUACCACUCUUCUCAAUGAUUUGGUAGGGACCCACAUACCUAGGGGCAAGCUUUCUUUUAACGCCAAAGCGAUUUACUCCUUUCAUGGGCGAUACUUUUAUGUACACAAAGUCACCUAUUUCGAACUCGAUUGGCUUUCUUCUUCGGUCAGCAUAGCUUUUCUGCCUAGCUUGGGCGGCUCUCAUGUGUAGUUGGAUAACGAGAACUUGCUUUUCGGCUUCCUUGACAAAGUCAAUUCCGUAGUACCUCCUUUCACUAGGUUCAACCCAGUUUAACGGAGUUCUACAUUUGCGGCCAUACAAGGCUUCGAAAGGAGCCAUUUGGAUACUUUCUUGAUAGCUAUUGUUGUAAGAGAAUUCAGCUAAGGGUAACCAUUUCUCCCACGCACCCUUGGAAGAUAUAACACAGGCCCUCAACAUAUCCUCUAGAAUUUGAUUCACACGCUCAGUCUGACCGGAGGUUUGAGGAUGAUAGGCUGAACUGCGAACCAAUUUUGUACCAAGGAGUGAAUGCAGAUGCUCCCAAAAGCGAGCAGUGAACUGAGGACCUCUGUCAGAAAUGAUAGUGCGAGGCACUCCGUGCAAUUUAACUAUCUGAGCGAAGUACAACUCAGCAUAGUCGGAUGGUCGGUAUGUAGAGUGUACGGGAAUAAAAUGGGCUGACUUGGUCAAACGGUCAACAAUCACCCAUAUGGAAUUGUGUCCUUUUUGCGUAAGGGGAAGUCCAACAAUGAAAUCCAUGCUGAUUUCUUCCCACUUCCAACCUGGAAUUGACAAUGGUUGCAAUAAACCUGCAGGUUUGAGGUGAACUGCCUUUACCCUACAGCAAGUAUCACACCUAGCAACAUAAGCUGCUAUCUCUUUCUUCAUUUUGGUCCACCAGAAGCGAGGUCUCAAGUCUUGGUACAUUUUGCUACUACCCGGAUGAAUGGACAACUUGGAAGAAUGAGCUUCUUCUAAAAUUUUGUUGCGUAGGUCACGGUCUUUGGGUACAACUAGCCGAUCGUCAAACCACAGUACACCCUUCUCAUCUACUCGGAAAUGCUUGGUGUCUUGCUCUUGCAUUUUUCUCUUGAUAUGAAAAAUACCAGGAUCAGAUUUUUGGAGCUCUAUGAUUUGACUUUCUAAUGAGCAACUGACUAUGAUGUUGUGUAGGACCACAGGAUGCAAUAAAUUGAAGCCUUCCUCUAGAAGAGAUAUAACAUGUUGUUUUCGACUGAGAGCAUCGGCUACAACAUUGGCUUUGCCUGGAUGAUAGUGCACUUCUAAAUUGUAGUCUUUUAUCAAUUCCAGCCAUCUUCUUUGUCUCAUAUUUAACUCGGGCUGAGCGAAUAUAUAUUUGAGGCUCUUAUGGUCAGUGUAAAUGUGACAAAGGUUACCCAACAGAUAGUGUCUCCAGAGCUUCAAUGCAUGUACAACUGCUGCUAACUCUAGAUCAUGAGUAGGGUAGUUGGCUUCAUGUUUCCUCAGCUGCCGAGAAGCAUAGGCAAUAACUCGGCCUUCUUGCAUAAGCACACAACCUAGGCCAGUGCCAGAUGCAUCACAAAAGACAUCAAAUGGAUUUUCAAUGUCAGGCUGUGCCAGAACAGGAGCGGUGGUCAGCAAAUGGCGUAGAGUGGUGAAGGUAACUUCACACUCCUCAGACCACACAAACUUCACAACUUUUUGCAGUAGCUUGGUCAUAGGUUUAGCUAUUUUGGAAAAAUCUGGAAUGAAGCGCCGAUAAUAUCUAGCUAGACCGAGAAAACUCCGGACUUCGUGCACUGAAGUCGGGGCCUUCCAGUCUAGAACCUCCUGCACCUUUGACGGGUCAACAGAAAUACCCUCUUCGGAUAAAAUAUGGCCUAAGAAAGGCACUUUCUUCAGCCAAAACUCACACUUGCUGAACUUGGCAUAGAGCUGAUGUUCUCGCAAUCUAGUGAGUACAAUCUGAAGGUGCUUCUCAUGUUCUUGUGCAUUUUCAGAAUACACCAAUAUAUCAUCGAUGAACACCCCCACAAACUUAUCCAGUUCAGGCAUGAACACCGAAUUCAUCAGGUACAUGAAAUGAGCAGGGGCAUUAGUCAGACCAAAGGACAUGACUAAAUACUCAUACAACCCAUACCUGGUAGAGAAAGCCGUUUUAGGAAUGUCUUCAAGUCAGAUCUUGAUUUGAUGAUACCUAGAUCUCAGAUCAAUUUUGGAGAAUAGUUUGGCCUUGGCUAAUUGAUCAAACAGGAUAUCGAUGCGAGGCAAUGGAUACUUGUUUUUGAUAGUCACGGCGUUGAGCGGACGAUAGUCUACACACAUACGUAGAGACUUGUCCUUCUUCUUGACAAAGAGAGCCGGACAACCCCAUGGAGAAGAACUAGGCCGAAUAAGACCUUUCUCUAGGAGUUCUUGCAGUUGCUUUUUCAACUCUGCCAAUUCAUUGGGUGGCAUUCGGUAUGGCCUUCUAGAGAUAGGUGCGGUACCCGGAAUUAAAUCAAUUUUAAACUCAAUGUCUCUGUCCGGUGGCAACCCGGGCAGAUCCUCUGGAAAGACAUCCGGAAACUCACACACUACCAGAAUAUCUGCUAAAGUAAGUGGUCGAAUGGCAUUGGCAGCGUGACGGAUGUCAUCAUUCUUGGGAAGCUGGACUAAGAAGGCUUCGUUGCUAUCAGGCUCCCGUAACAUGACUACUCUCGUGGAGGUAUCUAUUAGCACCCCAUGCCUGCUCAUCCAAUUCAUCCCCAGAAUAACAUCUAUCCCUAGGCCUGGCAGUACGACUAAAUCUGCUGCAUAAUUACGCCCUUCUAUGGCAAUAUGUACAUCCCUCACUACUUGAUUCGUAGCAAUUUGAUUACCAGCAGCACUAAUGCAAAAUUUUCCGCUAUCAAGAUCGAUGACAUUUUGCCCAUGCUUAGAUGUGAAUGCUUGACUCAUAAAUGAAUGCGAAGCUCCAGAAUCAAACAAGACAACUGCAGGGUGUUGAUUUACAAGGAACAUACCAGCGGUGACUGCUUCACCUUCCGGAAUUUCUUCAACCGUGGUGUAGUGCACACGACCCAUACGGUUAUUUCCUCCGGCUGCAGCAUUUCUCUUAGGGUAGGGGCAAUCUCUUGCCCAGUGACCAACUUGUUUGCAAUUGAAACAAGGGCGGUUAUCAGGAGGAUUCUUGGGACUUCCUUGACCCGUGGCACCUCUUGGGAGAGCAACUGUGAAGGACUUGCGCACUCCCGUCUUCACAUUUGACUUUUUCUGCGGCGGCCUGUACCUUGUCACAGCAUUGGGUGAGCGAUAGGCCGGCUUGCUUGCCGCUGGAGCCUUGGACUGCGAAGCACCUGCCUCAUAGGCCCUCUUGCGGUUCUUGGAUGCGGGAUACACAGCAUUAGAAUUUUCAUGAGUCAAUGCAUCACUCACAAACUCGUUGAAGGUGGUACUCUUGUUACCAGCCAUGUUCUUGGACAACUUGGGUCCCAACCCUCUCUUGAAACUAGCGAGCUUCUUGGCUUCGGUGUCAACCAUCUCAGGAGCAUAGCGAGACAAAUUGUUAAAAGCAUGAAGAUACUCAGUCAAGCUUUUAGUGCCUUGCGUCAGGUUCAUGAACUCAGUGUGCUUGAUAGUCAUUAAGCCUUGUGUAAUAUAAGUAUUCCUGAAAGCAGUUUGGAACUGGUCCCAGGUUACAACAGCAUUGGCGGGCAAGCUAGUCCUGUAAUGACUCCACCAGACACCUGCUUUGCCCUCCAACUGGUGGGCUGCAUACUCCGCUUUGAGCUCUUCGGUUAACAUUAGCAACCGGAAUUUUUGUUCAAGAGUGUUAAGCCACUCAUCAGCUUCUAGAGGUUCAACAGCCUCCUGGAAAAGCGGCGGCUUGGUGUCGUGGAAAUCCUUAAAACUGCUAUAUUGAUUUGCCUCUCCGCCUUGGCGGGCAUGGCGACCACCCCGGUUCUGCUGCGCCAUAGUUUGCAUAGCCUCAUUGAGCAUACGCUGGCCCUCAACAAGAGCUGUCAAUAGCUCAGUAGGUGUAGGCGGGGGAGGAGGUGGUGGUGGCGGCACCUCGUUGUGACCGGAGCGAGUGUUGCGAGCCAUCUGCACAAGGCAUAUCAAGUGAUCGUUUAGGAUAACAGAUAUGAUUGUCAUGAACUUCAAUUGCUGCCAUACGGAAUUUAAUAAAGUAUAUUCACAUAAAUUAAGGCGCAAUAAUCCAUGUACAAUAAGAGAAUAUCUUCUAUGACACUUGGUUAUUCUCGCGUUCAUUCACAGCCACAAUUCCUCAAGGAUUAACGACAUUGCAGAGAUUUAUUUCAGCUCAACAUAAACAUGGAGCAUCACAAAUAAGUGCAUAAGGUUACAUAGAGUCAGUGCCACAACUUAAGUUUUACAGGAGGGGCACCCUGGCCAAAUACAUAGAGUCUCAACUAAAAUUCAGAUUACAUGUCCAUUACACAAAGAGAUGGAAACUGAUACAUGGUCAUAAAAUCAUUGCUAGGCUACAUAUCUUCCUCGGAUUCUCCAUUAGAGAUGAUGCCAUCACCCUGAUCUUCCUCACUAAGAGCUUCUUCAUGAUCAAAAGGGGCUGGUUGUGGGAUAGGAUUUAUGAUAUUAUUUAAGCGAUGGACAUCCAACUGCAACUCAGCAAUCCUAGUAAUCAGCUCUUCCUCUCUCAUUUCAGCAUGGAACAAGGCUCUAACUCUAGCAGCUUCUCUAUUUUCAGCCAAGCGCAUAGCCUCAUCUCUCUCUAGUCAUUUGCAUCAUGCGGGUUUGUGCCUCAUUGCGCUCUGUAACUGCAUUCGCAACUUGAUUGCGGCGGGCUUGCAAAGCGGUGUGAUAGUUUUGGAUUUCAGCUUGUGCAUCCAUAAAAGCCUUGCGAUGUUUGCGCACUCGUUUGCGCAAUUUGCGCUGCCCAACUUGAGCUCGCUGGAGCGCUAGCAUGGCCUCUAUGUAUGUGUCCUGGCGUACAUAGUGCAGCUUAAGUACCGCUAGCAUGGCACUCAUGGCAGGGCUAGAGCUAUAUCAUAGCAAGAUUUCUCUCAUCUCUAAGGACUCAUUCCCUAUCUGGGACACAAAUUUGUCAGUCACACUCACUCUGGGGAUGGAUCCCGCUGGGCCAUUCACUAACUCAUCACCAAACUCUUGACAUAUUUCUAGCAAAACCUCUAGGGCUGCUACUUGGGCGCCCUCCCAAGGAGUUUGGCCAUCACAGUCAACUAACCACCCUAGCCACUGUGGGUUAUUUGGACAAGGGGGAACGGUAAUUUGGACAUCUACCCAAGGUAAGGCCCCUACAUGCUCAGACUCGGUCCAAGUGUACCUAGGUGGUUCCUCAUAUCCAACUGAACUUAGCACCCUCCACAACAAAGUAGGAGUGCCAAACAUGUCCAGAAAAGUCUCACUCGCGUGCGGGGCUGCCAUCUGUAGAAAGACCACAUUUGAGUAAGGGAGAUUAAUUACAAGGAAAGAUAAAGAAUCAUAUUUUCAGAAUUUAAUACCCAAGUAUUGCAUAAAGAAUGUAUGAAUGAUUCAUGAUGCAUGCACGUUCCAUACAUCCUUUCCAUUCCUAGAAGAAAGUUCUAACGGUAUAUUCGGUGGCAUAUAUACGUACACUCUUUAUACGCAACUACCCGGUCUACACGUUUCGUUGUUAGUGUACCUGCAGAAGAUUCCAUUUCAGCCCAGCCCCACAAUAGUAUAAGUGCAGAAAUGUAAAUCCAAUCACCAACAAUCAAGCUAGGUACUCCGAUAUAUAUUCCCAAACAUAUAUCGCAGCACACUACCCAUUUUGGAUACACCCACCUAUACAUCAAAUAUGUAUACAUGGCUGCACCUACUACCCACAAUUAAGUACCUUCAUAUAUACAUGUGUGAAACAUGUAAAUAUUCCAGUAACCACAGCUAACACUCCCCUAGACCGACGGUUGGACGGUCAUGCUCUCACAGCUCACACUUACCGUAGCGUAGAGGCAUAUAGAUCGAUACAAUACCACUCAAGCAAGUGGCAUCCAUACAAUUUCACGCCGUAUGGACGACGAAAGAAAACAAACAAUGCUUACCAUGGCGUAGAGGUAUGUGAUCCAUUCAUUACCACUUAAGUAAGCGGUAUCCAUAUAAUUACACGCCAUAUGGACGACGAAAGGAAAAACUCCCAUGUUAGUAAUAUUAAGCCACCUAGAAAUCCUUAUAUGGGCAUAAAGGGCAUGACCACUGGCAUGGUAUAAGUUAUCAAAACCAUUUUAAAACAACCCUAUUUAUAACCUAAUUUUGCCAAAUUAGUUUAAGAAAACCAAAUUCAUUUGUUUUCAAAUACAUCUAUGAUGGUUAUAUGCUUAAUCUUGCUCUGAUGCCAGCUGUAACAGAACCGUCCAAUUUAUAAGAAUUCAAGUGAAUUAGCGACCACGGAGGCAGUCAAGCCAAUGGACUUGAACCCAUAUAAACCCGGUAGUCCGACGAAAUCUCAAAAGACCUCGAUUCAACCAACAUACAACCAAGAUCGUACAUGAUCAAGCAUCACCAUCACAGAUUACAACAUUCAUCACAGAACAUAGUUUUACAUCACAUCAGAGUUUAAAGUGGUUACUACAAACCAUAGCGGUAGCGGAAACAAAGUAGUUUUGAACAACACCAACUUAGUUUAUAAUACAUGCCAGUUCCAUGGUCAAGUCCCAACAAAAGCACAACUGAAGAUAAAGGUGGUGAUCACGCCCAUGAUCUAUUCAUCAUCCGCGGCCGGGUGAUGACACUUAGCACAGUAGCCGUGAUAAACGACGUCAUCUGCAACAGGGGUAAAUAAAACCCUGAGUACGAGAAUGUACUCAGCUAGACUUACCCGUCAUAAACCAGAAAUAAAGUGACACCAAGGAGUAUGCAAGGCUGAUCUCUGUGGACUGGUUUGACUCAUCUUUUGCAUAAAAGCGUUUGUUAUAAGUAACUCAUUUAUUAAAUUCAGCAGCAAGUUUAUUACUUAGCAACUAUCCACUAGAUUAGCACCUGUUCUAAGCAUACACUUGAGUUUUAAGCAUUACAAUAAUAACCAUAUCCGGAUUAUCACAUAGCCAUCAUCAUUCUCAUCAUAACCAUUAAGUUUAUUUAGUAAAUUCUACGUUGCCGCUGCCCAAGUCAAGUUCUCACUAUCCGGGAGAGACGGCGAUUCGAAUCGAUUCCUAUCCAGCUGGAGGGGUAUUCCUAACACUCACCCAAGCAUACUUCAUGACGGCAGCUCGGAUCACCUUUAGCACAACUCCGGACCAAUUCGCGGGUCCGUACGGCGCCACACCCCCAGGGACCGCCAAUCUGCCAGGGUCAGGACUCUAACCUGACACCUCGGUCUUACGCCAUUGAAUCCCCGCACAUCCUUACUACCAACCGGGGUGCGCACUUUAACCAGAUCGGGGUAUCCGGCCGGAGUUGCACUCGUAGGCUUCGCGGUCGGAACGACUUAUCCGGCCAACUAAGUGAUAGGCAUGCGUUCAACAUGACACGGGGACGUACAGCGAUUCGGUCCUUAAACGACACAGACGGGGAUAGGUUCACACCCAAGACCUCCAUGCCUUGUUGCUGCACUAUCGUCAUCCCGCCCGGUCUCAAAUUCAUUAUUAACACAUGGUUAUUUCCACGAUAGCAAAUAUAGCCAACCGUGAUCAUCAUCCACCUAACUCUCGCAGGUGACAGGAAAUCACCCGGCUUCUACCGAGCUAAGCAUGGCUAAGCAUUACUUCGAUCCUGGACCUACUUCGGUAUUGUUUAAGGUGGACAAGGUAGUCAUUAUGCAGCAAGGGUGUCAUAUCAACGCCUACCACUUAAUGCAACAAUAUAUAACCAUAGUCAUUUGAUAGCUGAACAUGAUAAUAAAAUAGUAGGAGGCUUAUAAUGCUCCGGGGCUUGCCUUCGACGUAGGUAGAGGGACGAUGGUCAGGGCACUCCGGCAAGUCCUCCUCCUCCUCAGCUCCUUGAGGUAGCUCCCUUUGCUGUUCUUCCGGCUCCGGCAGCUCGUACUCCAACACGGUCACGCCCUUGGGUACACCUAUGUAUGCAUGACAAGGACAUGAAUAUAGAGAAUGCACAAAUGAUGCAUGAUGUCAUGAUGAAGAGCCAAAGGGACAUAAAACAAGGUAUAACAUGAGCAUAAGCUUCUAAGAUUAAGUGAAUCAUGGAACAACAAGUAAGUGCAUACCUCUUCUCUGAUAGAGAGACUAAAUAGACAAGUUAACAAAUCCUAGUUAUGCCUACUCAGCCACUGGUUUAGUAGACAAACCAACCAGUCACAAGUAUCAGCCAUAACUCAAGCAUCUGUUAACCAAAUUAAGCAAGUAAGCACUUUCUGGAAAGCUUAGUAAAUUGUCUACAAAUCACUUUUAGACAUCCCAGGAUGAUUCCCAACCAAAAUAUGCUAAAACAUACAAAGUUGACUGGCUGCUCUGGAAAUUCCAGAGAGCAAUCACUUUGCAGCAGCUACUUGAAACAUGCAUAACUUUCAAACUACUCAACCAAAUGCCAUGAAAUUUGGAAACGAAGUACAUCAGUAAGUUAGCUACAAGUUUGUUGUAGACAAGUUUCCCAGAAAUUAACAUCUUUAAUUAGUUCUCAAGCAUUUGCUAUCAGCUACACAGAAAUGCUCUAGGAAAGGUAUAAAUAGCCAAAAAUAAUAUUUUGCACAUGUUGAGAAUGUAUCAAAGGAAUAAUCUAAUUGCACCAGUAGGUACAACAUAUCUAAGAAACACCAGAAAAUAUCAUGGCAAGGUCUAAAACUAUUUCUAUCAUCACCUUUUCCAUUUAUUUAAUUAUUAAGGUGAUUUAAUGAACAUAUACUCCAAGUGUUCCAAAAAUUCUAAGAACAUUACAGCAAGCUACUUAUGCUAACAUAAGAUCACUGAAAAAUUUUCAGAACAUUUGCAAAUACAGAUUGGGAGAUACAAAAACAACAAGCUAGUAAAGGCAUGCAAGGCAUAAAUAUGAAACCUUAUCAAAAAGUGUCAAACAGCAGAUUUCAGAUUUUUCUUAGCCUUGUUUACACAUGAGUACAACACUCAGCAAGUUUCAUCACCAAAGGAGUUAUAACUUAAUUAUUAAAAAUACCACAAGAAACCCCUAUUUAAGCAAGAACUAUUUUUUAACUUCACAACUAGGCUUCCAAAAAUCAUGAUAAAUUUAUCAGAGCCUAGUCAUAACAUAACUAACAACACCCUAAAUUUGCAUGGCCAGCAGAUCAAUAGAUUUCAAGAUAUAAUUACCUCCUAUUUAAUCAAGAUUAAAUCAUAUCUAUUUAUUUCUACAAAAACAUGGCAUGUUUCAUAUUUUUAAUAGCUAAUAUCCACCAAGAGGAAGCUAACAAAAUUGGUUUCACUCAAAACGGAUCCCUGUAGCUUGAGAUAUUGAAUUUACAAACUUCCAAAAGAAAAACAUAGAAAAGAUUAAAACGAAAAUAACCAAACCCUAAGAACUACUACACGCACCCAGUGCUGAGUACCCCAAAGGCUGGCAGCUGGGACCCAAGGUCAAUCUGGACCCACACGUCAUAAGGACAAAAACAGGGGAGCUACUUUGACCGGCCAUAGCUCGCCGGCGGCGAACUUUCCGGCGACGCGACCACCACCAACAGACUCCUUCCAUUGAGACGCAUCUAUCAGGAUAGGUUACCGAGGAAACGCAUCGACUUUCACAGAACGGCAAAGCAAGAGGUGGCUCCCGUACGUACGCAGCACGGCUGCAGGCCAUGGCACCCGCCUGCGGCCAACUUGGCCGAAGGCCGGUCAUGCGAGCGGCCGCAGCCCUACUUUACUGAGAACGAGAGGGAUAGAGAGUAGCGAGAGGUGCCGGACGCAAUGGCGAUGCACGAGCUUCACCUCAGCAACAUCCAUGGCGGCGGCGGCUGUCCUCUUUGGCCUUGGCGACGAGUACGAUGUGGACGAACAGGUGGGCGAUUGCCUUGGCGGAGUCGCACGGCGCUCGGCUUUAUUCGUAGCUAUGUGGGGCCAAUAUCGACGCACGGCAUCCACGCGGCGCAAGCCAAGCAGAGCUGGUCGACCACGACCCGACUCCAACCAAAUCGAAGUCUGAUCAGAAACCAGCAAAAGUACUGCAAAAAUACGUCUGAACUCGAAACUUCGCUGCCCUCCAACUCCCAAACCAGUGCGAACUAGCAAAAACUUCAGUGACACAAGUUGGAGAGCUGAAUGAGUACUCCAACUUUGAUUAUAAGAGUUUGGUCUAGUUCAGCUUAAAUUAGAAACUACGAGCUGCCAAAGUACCCUACACGUAAACUGGCAUUCAGUUUCGUCAGUUCCCACACUUAGCCAAAAACUGCCAUGUCCAAACAGCCCCUAAAUUUACCUUGUGUGCAUUUUUUUGAGCAUGUUCUGCACAGUUUCAUGAGAUGGCCUUAAAACAACUUUUGUAGCCUAUAAAAUCUUCUACAACUUGGCUUUAGGGGUCAUUGACAUGCAAAGUUUCUAACACAGGUUUCUUAAAAGAUCUUUAAAAAGAGGUUUAGGAGGUCAACUAGGUCAACCUAGGGCUAACCAUGACUUAGGGGCAUUUUUGGGUGCAACCUCCAACAUGAACUAUGUUCACAAUGAUGUUCUAAACAUGAUUAAAGUAUUUUGGACAAGAUCGCACACUUACAUGUAUUGAUCACCCACUAAAGUCACUCAAAACAAGUCACACAAGCAAUUUAAUCACAUAGUGCAUGUAGUAGAUGGCAUGUGAUCAUGGUAUGAUGCUCAUGAGUGAUCAUGAUGAUGCUUAUGUUGAUGCAAUGCUCAUGGUUAACAUGCAAGCUAACACUAGGAGUGUUACAAAGAAAGCCCAGUUGAAGCAGAAGAUCUGCUCCAACCACCAAGAACUAGAGAAAUGAGGAAAGAUUUUUACGACACCAACUAUUUGCCAUUUCCCAGAAGAAACAGAGGACUGCAGUCGGAUGAGCAGUUUGGUAAGUUUGUAGAGGUCAUUCAGAAAUUAUAUGUCAACAUACCUCUACUUGAUGCCAUACAGGUACAUCAGAGAUAUUCUUAACAAGAAGAGACCACUGCCCACCACUGAGGUUAUCAAGCUGACAGAAGAAUGUAGUGCGGCCAUCCUCAACAAACCACCAAAGAAGAAGGAAGAUCCCGGAUGUCCCACUAUUGAUUGCUCGAUUGGAAACCAACACUUCAAUAAUGCACUUUGUGAUCUCGGAGCAAGUGUCAGUGUGAUGCCAGCAUCAGUCUACAAAAAGUUUGAGCAUGCAACCUUAGAACCAACAUCAAUGUGCUUGCAACUAGCAGAUCAAUCGGUUCGACACCCGCUGGGCAUCGCCGAGAACAUUCCAGUCAAGAUCAGAGAUUUCCUGGUGCCAGUAGACUUCGUAGUACUGGACAUGAGUCCUGACUCAAAAGUGUCCAUCAUCCUUGGAAGGCCAUUUCUGAGCACUGCUAAUGCCCACAUUGAUGUCGGGAAGGGAGAAAUCAAGUUUAACAUAAACGGACAAGAAGAACGCUUCACAUUCAAACCCAGACCAGAGAGAGACUCUACAGUGAAGGAAGUUCAUGAAGAACCACUGGAGACACCAUCUCCGGAGGAAGGUAACUCAGAAGAUUAAAAGAUUUGGAGGUCCAGCUUGGGGGACCUAAAAAUCCCAAACCCUCACCGGGAGGUAAAUCGGUAUUUAUCCUCAUUAUUAAUUUUCUCAUAUUUAAAUUCUUGCAUAAUUCAUUCUUAGUCGUAUACAUUCAUAGCAUAAUUAUAAUAAUCAAGAAGCCCCAUAUAAAUAAUAUUCGUGGUGUCUAACAACCCAUAUUAUUAAUUAUUGUGGAGGCACAAAAAUAUUUUCCAAUAUCAUUUUCAUUAAGUUUCAAUUCUCAUAGAUUUUCCUGCAUUAUAUUUAUUUAUAUUGAUCUUCUAGAAGCAUGACCCACACUCUUUGGGUCCCACAUGUCAUACACUUCAUCUCACAUACAUCCCAUCAUAUAAUUUCAUCCACCAAUAUGUUUCCACUCACUUGACAUCUUUCCACCGUCCAACCACCACCAACACAAUAUUAUUCUGCGUGAGAUCAAAGCAAGGAAGCAUGUGGAGGAGGCACACCCAGGAUGGACACCAGGGGUGGGCGCCCGCCCACCUACCUUGGGCGCCCGCCCUGUCGCCUGCUCAGCCUAUAAAAGGCCACCUCCAGCUCCCCUUCUCUUCACACAAACACUUCAGAAAACCACACAAAUCUCAGUUUCCUGAGAGGGAGCUUUUGUAGUGAAGAGAAGAGAGUAGAGAGAAAGAGAAGAGUGGAAGAGAAGGUUGAGAGUUCUUUUGAGAGAGUGAUUGUCACCUAGCAAGUAGUGAUCCCGUUGUCUAAGCGGAAGUAAAAGUUGUUUAGGGGUAGGCUCUACCAAAAUAGAAACUUGUCUUGAACGAUUGACCCCUGGACUACUGACACUCCGGACAGCUGACCACUAACAUUUUAUCUCACAUUUUCCUCCAGUUGUGUUUUUGCCAACUUUUGUUUGCAGGAUGUUUAAGAAGGUGAAGAAUGCAGGGAAGGCUCUCAAGAACAUUGGAACAAGGAGUUCAACCCGACACUCCUCACAGCCAUCAGAGAUGAGCAUCGACCCAACACCCACACAAGCUCCAUCAUCUUCAUCAGGUCAGCAAGUUAAGGUCCUUCUCAAGAUAGGAGACCUUGGACUGAAGACCCGAAGAGAGAAGGAAGUCUAUCAGCAGUUGAAGAACAAAGAUUUUAUUCACACCCCUACUAUCGAUCCAAUCCUACUACGAGAAACAGGUAUGGACACUGAAUUUGACUUAAUUUUUCAGAUGAUGGGUUGGACAAAUUUUUGGAAUAUAACUGAGCUGGGUUCUCGUCUUCUCACCCUCGAAUUUCUUUGCACUUUACAAUACUAUGAGGGGGGAAUUGUUUUUCGGAUAUUUAAACAGGAAAUUAUGUUAUCUUGGAGAGAGCUAAGCGACCAUCUUGGUUUCUCUUCAAGAUGCAUCCUGAACAUUGACUCCGAUUUACCCAAUUUUGAGAGACACCAGUUUUGGAGAGAAAUAUCUAGAGAUAAUUUUUACAGUCAAGCCCGAACCAGUGACAUGGAACACCCCACUCUUAGGAUGUUUCACAAAUGGCUUGGGUACAAUCUUUUCUAUCGCGAUGAUAUUAGGAAAGUAAGAGUAGGAGAUUUACAACUUUUAUAUGCUGCUAUUAGUAAAGUACCCACUUCACCUGUGACACUAUUAGUUUCACAUUCGCUUAGUAUACCUAGUCUUCAGGGACCAGUAGGAUGUACUUCACUUAUCACUCGUCUAGCGACUAAUCUUCACUUACUUGAAAACUCAUCGUUGGACUUCAUAGAAGAAUUAAGAAUUUAUCAUGGCUAUGACACAUUUAGACAAGCUCGGAUGUUAAAGAAAGAGGGAAAUAUAAUGUACACGCUGUAUGAUGAUAAAGGCAAGAUUCGGUUACCUAACCCGAACCUUGGCCUCUACUCUGUGCAAAACUUUUUGAUUGAGAUUGCAGCAACACCAGUGAACCAGAGAACUCCACAGCAAGUGGCUUCCGAAAGGAUAACCACUCACCGAGAACGCACUUGGUAUGGAGCUGACCCUGGACCAGAAGAAGCAGCACACCUGCAUUAUUGCGAUUACAACCCUCGAGUCCUUCGAGACCCAUGGGCUCGUCAUGCGCAACCACAAGAGCCAACAGAAGAGACAUGGCCGGAGAGCCAAGAUCACCAGUGGACAAACCCGCCUUUUCAUACGGGCAGGUACUCCACUGAUCCAUAUGGAGCUUCAGGAUCCAGACCUCCGCCCCAAUUUGAUGCAGGACGAUACUCCGACGCCUCCUACGCCUUCACGAAUGACUACUAUCAAGAGGCCGGUGCUUUCUUCACUCGUACCGACAACACCCUCCUCGACAUCCAAAACACGCAAGCAGAACAUGGAAGACUCCUAGAAGAGCAACAAAAAUGGAACCAGGACCAUGCCGUUGCAGUGCAAGAGCUGAGACAAGAUACAACAACAAUGAACGACAACAUCACAACCAUGAUGCGGUUCUGGAACAUCGGGUAAGACCGACGUCAACAUCCAGCUUGGGGGAGUUCCUCCCAAAUUUAUCAAGUAAGUUUUUAUUUGCUCUUCUUAUUUAUGCUAUUCUGUCUUAGUAUUUAAUUUAUCUUAAAAAGGAAAAACUUAGAAAACCAAAUAAAUAUUUUCUUACUUUUAUUCACUGCACUUUAAUAAACAUGAAAACAGAAUAAAAAGAGUGUGUAGAUAAGUGUGCUUUAUUUUCCUGCUAAGUUUAAUCUCUAGAAAAAAAUAAAAAAACCAAAAAUAUGCAUGAUGGAAAUGAUGAACAGUUGCUCUGUUUGCUUACUUACAAGUACCUAGCUUUUAUAUUAGAGUUCUUCCAGGAAUUACUAAAACUAAACUUACUAUCUUUGGGAAGCAUAAAACUAAAGUCUAGGUAAGAGAAACGCAUGAUAUAAAGUUGAGCUGCUGUUUUUCUUGUUCCUACUACACUAAGUUCUGGAGAUUUAUUUUGAAAAUAUACAAAUCACAUGAUGAGUUCCUUGCAUAACAAAACUACCUACCACAGCCAUACUUGCUAUAACAUCUUUUACUAUUUACAUUGAGUUUGAUCGAGCUGUGUAGACCCUUAGGAGCUUUUCAUGUGGUUAAAUUAAGAUAUUCACUUGCACACAUCUACCACAGCAUUCAUCAAUCAUUAAAAUUGCUAAAAAUAUUUUCACUCACUGUCCCGAAUAUUGUUAUUCUCUCUCUCUAAAAAGAUUCAAUGCAGAAGAGGCAUGGGUUAUGCAAAAAUAUACGAGGAAAUAAAAAGGGGCAAGUGCCCGGAACCUCGGAAAAGAAAGAAAAAGAGUGAGACGAGAGGUAAAAAUGGACAAGUGUCCGAAGUAGAAUUAGGGGUACAAAGAUGCCCACUUGAGCGGAAAAAAAUGGACAAGUGUCCGACAGUAGAAUUAGGGGUAUCUACUACCCACCUGAAAAAAAAAGAGAAAAGAAAAAGAUAGCCCAUGUUCUCCCAAAGCAAAGAUCAAAGAGGAGGAGAGAUAGCAGUAUGAGGAGCAAUGAGAACUAAGUUUUAUUAUCACUUAUGCAUUUUCACCAUCACUAUCAUUUACUCCAUCACACAUGCACAUCUUGAUUUAAUUAUAUGCUGAGUUGCUUUGGAUCCAUGGCUCGAUUAGACAACAUAUGUAUGAGCUAUUUUUUCACUCCUAUGAGCUCCACUUAAAUAUUCUAUUAGCUAUAGGCAAGUGAUAUCAUGGUAAGGAUCCACAAAUACCACAUAUAGAGAGACUUGAGAGAAUCAUUGCUGGGAACUCUGAGUUUUAUUUUAAAAACUUAUAAAAAACUCUAGAACAAAGGUGAAGUAUAGACAGGAGGAUAGUGCUUGACUUAACUAUUUUGUCUUUUGAUUACUUAAGAUUUAAGUGCAGGUACUAAACUUCAUAACACUUCACUUUAAUCUGGAAGAAUUUUUAUGUAAAAGCUUGUGUGCCUGUCAGGAAAGAAAAGAUCGAAGCAACUCCUGAUCCGUCUGAGUUUAGCUGUUGCUCAGGGACGAGCAAAGGGUAAUCUUGGGGGAGUUUGUGACGUCCUAAGUACNNNNNNNNNNNNNNNNNNNNNNNNNNNNNNNNNNNNNNNNNNNNNNNNNNNNNNNNNNNNNNNNNNNNNNNNNNNNNNNNNNNNNNNNNNNNNNNNNNNNGAAAAAGGAUCAAUAUGAAACAAACAUCUAGAAUUAGGGUUUUAUCUGACAGAAUUCCACGAGUUUUGGUGUUUAUCUAUUUCUGCUGGGGUUUAUCAGAGAAUAUGAAGAGAAGGCCACAUGUGUUGAUGGUCCUUAAUGUUCACAUUUAACCAUCAACUAAUCAUGGAAAAGGAUCUAAAUGGAACCAAAACCUAGACUUAGGGUUUACCUGACAGAAUCCACAAGUUUUGGUGUUUGUCUAUUUCUGCAGGGGGUUAUCAGGAAAUAUGGAAGAAAGGCCCACACGUCGGGUUUACAUAGAGAUAUUAACGUGCCGCACAAUUAUCUACCAUCUAGAAGACUCCAGAAGCCACGGGACCAAAGCGGAGGCCGAUAGGGCUCAGGCACUGGGCGCCCGCCCUAGUCCUAAGGGCGCCCGCCCACCUCUUUCCACCAAUCAGGGUGAAGUUUGGGGAUCAUGCUCCACCGACCUAAUACUUCAAGGAAAACCACACGAUCAAUGUCGGUUUGAUCCGACGGCCCAGAUUCACUUGAAGGGACUAUAAAACCAGACCCCCCUGGCCCCUGGAGAUCAUACCUCUUCUACAGAAUCAAAGCUAGGGUUUCAAUUCUUCAUCCAAGUAGAGAGGAUCCCUCUAGUUCUUCUAGUUCUACCUCUAGUUCAUCUAGAUCUAGUUCUAGUUCAUCUAGUUCUAGUUCUAGUUCCUCUAGUUCUAGUUCUAGUUAGUUCUAGUUGUAAUCUAGAAAAUAGGGAGAGAGAAGAGGAGAGCGGAGGAGGAGCCAGAUCUGUCGGAUCUUCCUCAACAUUGUACUUUUGCAGCAACUGGUUCGUUCUUCAUCGUUCUCCAGGUUCUUCAAUUUAUAAUUCCUAAGUUCUCUAAUUACUUUUAUUUACAUUCAAGUUAUUUAUUGGAUUCCCGCUUGCAUCAAGUGCUCUAGUCUUUAUAACGCUAGAGUAGUAAUUAAUAGAUUAGACGUGGUGUUUAGUCUUGCGAUUACCUGGAAUUGCACCCAAUCCUACGGAUUGUUGUGGUAGCCCUAGGGUAGUGACAGCCCUAACGGUCGACGUAUUCCACCACGUUCGGAUCGGUGUUUGUAGGACCGUAGUCAGACCUUCCUAGCCCCCUUCUCAUCUCUUUCUGUGGUUAGUGCUCUGAUGUCCCGAUAUAGAUAAUCUUGAAGUAAUUCUUGAUUCUUAGAUCAACUAGCGAACUCUCAGGAAACUUCCUCUCUUUCCACCAAAAAUAAUUAUAUAGUUAUCCUUGGGCGAUCUUGGAUCUUAAUUAGUACACUCACGUUCUCUGUGGAAAAUCGAUACUCUGGAAUACUCCCGGGUGAAAGCUACAUCGGUAUCCGUGCGCUUGUGGAUUUUUCUGUUUGCGUUUAAAAUACCCAACAAGCUUUCUGGUGCCGUUGCCGGAGAACGGUAGCUGUGCUAGUUUCUAACCAAGUCGUCUGUGUAUCCUUUUUCUUUUCCUUUUUUACCACACUCACCUUAUCAUUUUCACCAUACCACAUGGAUUUCACUCUAAGCAUUAAUGGGCAUGGAAUUUAUUUCAUAGCCACUUCAUUUACUCCAUGCUCAUAUGCAACAUCUUCACAAUCCAUUGGUCUCUCCAACAUCACCACAUUCGAGAUCUCCAACCCCCACUUCCUUUCUAUUUAUAAAAACUUUAAAAGGGCGGUUGUCGAUGCAUAUGUCUAUAAUAAAUUUUGCAGAUCUCGUUGAGUUGAUCUUGAUAUAGGUCAGCGUUGGAGGGGAAACCACUUCACUGACAUAAAUUGAUGGUUUUCCAAGGACAAGCUUAGUGUCCUAAAACAAGCACUGAUCAGAUCGUAACAUUAGUUUUUAAUUAUUUGCAACAUUACCUUGUGUAUUGAGCAUAUAAGGAUAAUUGUAAAAAAAUUCCUUCGGGUAUUCUUGUCACUAACCUUUCUAGGAUUGGAGCAAGAAGAUCGGAUGAAUGACAAGCACAAGGUAUGUACAACCAAUCAUCAUACAACAUUGAAUUAAAUUAAUCCAAACUUGAAUUUUGCAAAAUUCAAGCUUGGGGGAGUACUUUAUAUAAAAACAUCAUUUGCCAUGUUGCUAUGUUGGUUGUCCCUACCUUUGAGACAUGCUCAAUUUGUUAAAUAGUAAUCACACUACUUCAUCUCCACUUGAGUAGAUCUCUAUAAAUGCUCUCAUGCUACCUUUAUUUGCUUUAGUAUAUGUCUAGGUUUGGAGUAGUUUCAUUUAUCUCUUAAUUAAGCAUGGUGCUUAGUUUAGGGCUGAUGAUCUUACUUCCAAGGGAGUUUAAAUUAAGCAUGAUGCUUAGGUUAAAAUGCCCUCCUAAAUCAAAUUAGACAUAGUGUCUAGGUUGAUCUUUGAGCUGAUAGUAUGCUAUAGUAGAUAUUGGAUAUUUUGUNNNNNNNNNNNNNNNNNNNNNNNNNNNNNNNNNNNNNNNNNNNNNNNNNNNNNNNNNNNNNNNNNNNNNNNNNNNNNNNNNNNNNNNNNNNNNNNNNNNNAAGUUUAACAAUUUACACAAGGAAAGCAUAGCUCACAAGAGAUGAUAAAUGGAGGGUGCCACAAACACGAUGCACAACCACUAAGAAAGGAAAGCUUCCACAAGGUGAUACUGUACCAUCACUCUUCAAGUAAGGUAACAUCUUAAGGUACUUGACUAUCACUUUUAUAAAGCUUCUCCUUGGUUCUGGCGUUCACAUGAAUAAAAGAGACAAACAUGUAUGAUUUACAACUCUAGAUUAACCAACCUAAUCAUGUUUAGUCCUUCCACCUUUGUGAUCCCAUACUCCUAAUCAUAUAAGCUAAAAUGUUGCACACUCAAUCUUUGGAAGAUAUAAACAAAACAUAUAUAUAGAUAGAUUAUCUUUCCAUAAGGUCGAGCAAUCUAAUCUGACAAAUGUUAAAUACUACACUCAUGAUUUUAUUAUCCAUCAACUUUGUCUUGCUCACUAUGCUUGAGGUUAGAGAAGAACAAAUACACUUUUGGUUCUGUUGGUGUUUUCCACCAACAGAGCCCAUGCACUUGAUCUCUGCCUUGUCUCUAUGAGCAGGUACACUUCGAGCAAAAUAUGAAGGAGUUUUACAACUCCCAGACUCCACCAAGUGAAGAACCUAGAUCUAUGAGCACAAACACACUGGAGAUACUGGACACUCAGGCAAUCACUACCUUGAGAUGCUUGAGGACGUAACUACUGGAGUAACCCCGUUAUGGAAGUAAUUACUGACCUUCUGCCAGUCAAGAAAGGCAAUCCAGGAUGCACCGUCAUCCCGAUCUCCUCCGGCAUGCUUGCAGAUUGUACGCUAAGUUUCCCAAAGGGAAUAUUGAAGAACCUCUACGUCUGAGUUGGUACCUUAUACGUUCCAGCAGACUUCAUGGUGAUAGAGACUGAUACUGAUCAGAGGGCACCCAUCCUAGGGAGGCCAUUCCUGAACACCUCAGGAGCUGUCAUCUACGCUAGUGCUGCCAAGAUCAGUUUCUACAUCAUGGGAAGGACGGAGACGUUUUCCUUCAAGAACAAGACUACACAAAUCUUAGAGCAAUCCUAACAUGAACCAAGGAAGGACCAACAGGAGGAACAGGAACAAGCAAAUGUGUACCGAGUCAGCUAGGAUGGUCACUGCAGCUCAAGGAGGUCAAGAUCGUCAACUCAAGUCAUCUUUCUUGAUCAAGAAGGACGACCCUGGUGUCCCAAUCAUCAAGUGCACAAUCAACGGAUAUUAUUUUCAGAAGACACUCUACGACACCGGAUCUGACGUCAACAUAAUGGCCGUAGUCACUUAUCAUCUCCUGCAUGGAACCAUGCCCCUAAAACCGACAUACAUUCAGCUUCAGAUGGCAGAUCAGACAUUCCGAAAGAUUGAAGACAAGUACGAUCCAACCAUCAUCCUUGGGAGACUGUUCCUUAGCACUGUUAAAGCAAUCAUCUACAUUGGAACCGGAGAAGUCCACAUGCACUUCCCCUCUGAGAAGGUACGCUGCUAUUUUACUGACCCUAACUAUAUAGUUGAAGACUCUAAGCAGGUCAGGACAAGAAGAAGAUGACACAACCGUAACCAGAGGAGGCAAAUCAUCAAGGAUGGAUGGGCAGACUAUGAAGGAGAAGUCGUAAGGUCUGAAGACAUACAGCUUGAACAGAACUGUCCUGAGGAGACCGUAGCACCGAGUCAGGUGUGGAGAAAGAAGAUAGUUAUACACGAAGAGCAGGCUCUGCCGGAACCACCGACUAUGCCAUCAAGCAAAUCCCAGGACGACUGAGAAAACGGAGUGUCCCGUUCAGAGGACUUAAAAACACCGAACGCCUUGCCAAGAGGUAAACUUGGUAGUUAUCUUUUUCCUUUCAAUUAUUUUAAAAUAGUUUGCUUAGUUAAUCAGGUUCACAUCAUCUUGAAAAGAAAAUAAAAAUAGUAAGCCCCAUGUGAUUAUGCUCAUGGCAUAAAACCCAUAAGUACAUUCACUGUGGUGGCGUAAAAAUAAAAUAAAUAUAUUCCUGUCCUAUAAAAAUAAAAUUAUAAAAAUAGAUUUAUGAUCCCACUAAAAAGAGUAAUAUUUAUUGAGGAGACUUAACAUGAUAAAGGCUAGAUAUUUAUGCUAACACUUAACUAGUUCCACAAGCUUUGUUGUCUAUUUGAGCUCCACAGAAUUCAAGGAUCAAAGAAGACUAGCAGACGGAGGACAUCCUAGUCGCCGUCAGGGUGCUGCUGACAUUCAAAUAUACCUUCGCCACCUGCUAGCUACAUCAGAAGGAAUUACGUCAAAAUCCAGCUUGGGGGAGAGCACCUCCAUUUAUCCAGCUAAGUAUUCUACUCACGUUUAUAUUUUACUCAAAUAAUAAAAAGAUGCAUAAUCAUAAAAACCCAAAUAAAGAUUUUGUGCUUAUAUAUAUAUAUAUAUAUCUUUGCUUAGUUUGCUAAAUAAAUAAAUAAAUAAAAUUUGCUAUGAACCCUCAUGAUAAGCUCUCACAUGGAAAGAUGAAUAGUUGCUCUGCCAUGACUAGUUCUCAAAAUUGAAAUCUCUCUCAAGUUUAGGUAUCACUGUUAUUAAUUAAGAUUUGCUCUAAACCUGAACUUGUGGGAAGAGUACUUGAUCUGAAGUCUAAGUCGUUAACGGAUAUGAUAUGGGAAGGUUGAGCUGCUGUUUAUCUGUUCCUAGAGAUGCUAGAAUUCUGGAGAAUUUUAUCUUUGAAAAAUCUUUAAAAUGUUGCAUGAUGAGUUCCUGUAUGAUGAGAGUUUAAAUUCCUACCACAGCCAUAUAUACAUGCUUGCUAAACUAUGAACCACACAUUUACUUUACUACUUAUGAACAUUGAGUGUGCUCAAGCUGUGUAGACCCUUAGGAGCUUGUCAUGUGGUUAAGUCAAGAUUCACUUGCACGUUCACUCACACAUGCUGCUUCUACUCCGGAAGUACGCAUCCACAUAUAUCCACCCAUUUCCAUCUCCAGAACCACCCAAAAAUAUUCUACUCCUAAUCCGGGAGAGAAUAGCCAAAAACAUUUAUGUUUUUCCUCUGUGAAAUAAAUGCUCAAGUUAUCUUGUUACUACCACUUGCUAUAUUAUUUCAGGAGAUGAGUGCUCUAAAAAAAAGAGAAAGAAAAAAAAGAAAGAAUACGAGGAAAUAAAAAGGGGCAAGUGCCCGGAACCUCGAAAGAAAAGAAAAAGUGAGACGAGAGGUAAAAAUGGACAAGUGUCCGACAGUAGAAUUAGGGUUACAAGAUGCCCACCUGAGAGAAAAGAAAAAGAAAAUAUAGAGCAUCUCAUUCUCCUCAAAAAGUUUCAAAAGAGCAAGAAAGGUAUGUAUCCCCUCAAAAGAGCAUAAGUAGAAUUAGACUUUCACCAUUGUUAUAUCCAUCAUCACCAUACACCAUUCAUUCGCCACACAUGCACAUCUUGAUUUGACUUAUUGACUUGUUCUUCUGGAUCCAUGGUUUGACUAUGCAAUAUAUGUCUUGUAAGUAUGUAUUAGCUGUCUCCCACCUAUGAGCUCCAGAUAUCAAAACCUUAUUAGAGUAGGGUGAGAGAGAAGGCAAUGUCACUAUGCCUCAUACCAAAAAUACCACAUACUUUGAGAGAAGGCAUACACCUUUACUGCCUUGGUAAGGAUCCAGAAAUACCACAAAAGAGAGACUAGAGAGAGUCAUACAAGGAAUCUCUGAGUUUUAUUUGAAAAUCUGCAAAAACUCCAGAGCUAUAGUUAAUCGAAGAACAAGAGACAUGGUGCUUGACUAGACUGUUCUAUCUUUUAACUACUCAAGAUAGAAGUGACGGUUACAAGUCCCAUAGUGAAAGGUAAAUGAGUAAGUUUUAAGUCUUAACAGUUUACUCUAACCAGAGAUGAGAUCUUGUUUAAACGCAUGUGUAUCUUUAAGUUAUGAAACCACUGCAGAAACUCUUGAGUUCAUCUUUGCUCAGGGACGAGCAAAGGUUAAGCUUGGGGGAGCUUGUUGACGGUCCUUAAUGUUCACAUUUAACCAUCAACUAAUCAUGGAAAAGGAUCUAAAUGGAACCAACACCUAGACUUAGGGUUUUAUCUGAUAGAAUUCCACAAGUUUUGGUGUUUGUCUAUUUUCUGCAGGGGGUUAUCAGGAAAUAUGGAAGAAAGGCCCACACGUCGGGUUUACAUAGAGAUAUUAACGUGCCGCACAAUUAUCUACCAUCUAGAAGACUCCAGAAGCCACGGGACCGAAGCGGAGGCCGAGAGGGCUCAGGCACUGGGCGCCCGCCCUAGUCCUAAGGGCGCCCGCCCACCUCUUUCCACCAAUCAGGGUGAAGUUUGGGGAUCAUGCUCCACCGACGUAAUACUUCAAGGAAAACCACACGAUCAAUGUCGGUUUGAUCCGACGGCCCAGAUUCACUUGAAGGGACUGUAAAACCAGACCCCCCUGGCCCCUGGAGAUCAUACCUCUUCUACAGAAUCAAAGCUAGGGUUUCAAUUCUUCAUCCAAGUAGAGAGGAUCCCUCUAGUUCUUCUAGUUCUACCUCUAGUUCAUCUAGAUCUAGUUCUAGUUCAUCUAGUUCUAGUUCUAGUUCCUCUAGUUCUAGUUCUAGUUAGUUCUAGUUGUAAUCUAGAAAAUAGGGAGAGAGAAGAGGAGAGCGGAGGAGGAGCCGGAUCUGUCGGAUCUUCCUCAACAUUGUACUUUUGCAGCAACUGGUUCGUUCUUCAUCGUUCUCCAGGUUCUUCAAUUUAUAAUUCCUAAGCUCUCUAAUUACUUUUAUUUACAUUCAAGUUAUUUAUUGGAUUCCCGCUUGCAUCAAGUGCUCUAGUCUUUAUAACGCUAGAGUAGUAAUUAAUAGAUUAGACGUGGUGUUUAGUCUUGCGAUUACCUGGAAUUGCACCCAAUCCUAUGGAUUGUUGUGGUAGCCCUAGGGUAGUGACAGCCCUAACGGUCGACGUAUUCCACCACGUUCGGAUCGGUGUUUGUAGGACCGUAGUCAGACCUUCCUAGCCCCCUUCUCAUCUCUUUCUGUGGUUACUGCUCUGAUGUCCCGAUAUAGAUAAUCUUGAAGUAAUUCUUGAUUCUUAGAUCAACUAGAGAACUCUCACGAAACUUCCUCUCUUUUCACCAAAAAUAAUUAUAUAGUUAUCCUUGGGCGAUCUUGGAUCUUAAUUAGUACACUCACGUUCUCUGUGGAAAAUCGAUACUCUGGAAUACUCCCGGGUGAAAGCUACAUCGGUAUCCGUGCGCUUGCGGAUUUUUCUGUUUGCGUUUAAAAUACCCAAAAACAUGUCAUGUUUACAACGAGAUAAUUACGUGCCGCACAAUUUUCCUCAAUCUAGAAGGAUCUAGAAGCCACGGGAAUGAACGGGACGCGAUUCGGGCUCGGGGGCAGGGCGCCCGCCCACCCGCCUUGGGCGCCCGCCCAGGUUAGGAGGCCAAUCAGGACUCUGCUUCGGGACAACGCUCCACCGACCUAAAGGAUCAAUCUAAACCAUACAAUCUAUGUUGGUUUGAUCCAAUGGCUCACGUUCACUUGAGGGGACUAUAAAACCCGACCCCCUGGCCCCUGGAGGAAGAGAGGAGAAAUCAUUAUUCAGAGGUAGCCAUCAAAGUUAGGGUUUAGAUCUCUCUCCCACAGAGAAUUAGAAUUAGCUACUCCCUGAUCCUUCAAGUUUAGAUGUUUGAUUAGAUAGCAAUUAGAGAAGUAGAGCACUACGCUCUGGAUUCGGAUCUUCGGUAAUAAAGAUUGGUAUUAUUCAUAUCUUUCUCUAAUUCUAUUGUUCUAAUUGCAUUAUGUCUCUAAUUAUUAUGUUCUUAGUUUGCUCUAGUUCUAUAUUUGAUAUAGUUAUGAUUGAUAAUGAGUUUAUGUAUAAGUUUGCAAAGCGCUUAGCUCUUGAGGCGAGGGAGUUAGGUGAUAGAUCACAUGUGAGCGUGGUGCUUAGAUGUUAUUUAUCUGCAAAUGUAUCCUAUUGGCCGAGUCGUGUGGUAGUUCGCGAUAGUGACAGCUUCAUUGAUUCUUAUAUAGUCCACCCUCCGUUGAUAGGACAGGCAGAACCGGUAUUGUGGAGUAAGUCAUGCGAUGUUCUGAUUUACUUUAUCAAUGUUCCUUAUACAUGAAUGAAGAGUCUUUUAUGCUAUAUAUGAUCUUGUAGAUAACUAGAGUAGAUUAUGACUUAGUAGUUAGUAGAUAACUUAGAAUCCAUUCUCUAGCUAAUCCGACAUCACUUACAUAUAUGAGGAGUAGUCUAUUUUCUAAUCGCUGUGUUAUCUACCCAUGAACUUAUACUUUAUUAUCAUUAUCUUUAUGGUUUACCCCCUGCUAAAGUAAGUGACUGUGUGACGAGUUUCUCAUUAGUAAUCAUGUUCUUGCAAGUUUAUCUCUAGUCUAUGCCUUGAUAGAUUUUGCCCAUUGAUUUAAUUCCAUCUUCUUUAGAUCCCUUGAGCAAAAUUAUAAAUAACGAUACCUGGAAUACUUAUCCUGGUGAAAUGCUACAAUGAGGUGUUUUAUCUGUGCGCUUGCGGAUAGAAUAGAUUAUUUUCUUGAGAGCCUUUACAUUUAUAAAUACCUUUGUACACUCUGGCGCCAUGCUAGGGAUGACAACCUAGUAUCUAAGUGAUGUUAGCUAGUGUCAACAAUAAUUUUUACAGUCAAGCCCGAACCAGUGACAUGGAACACCCCACUCUUAGGAUGUUUCACAAAUGGCUUGGGUACAAUCUUUUCUAUCGUGACGAUAUUAGGAAAGUAAGAGUAGGAGAUUUACAACUUUUAUAUGCUGCUAUUAGUAAAGUACCUACUUCAUCUGUUACACUAUUAGUUUCUCAUUGGCUUAGUAUACCUAGUCUUCAGGGACCAGUAGGAUGUACUUCACUUAUCACUCACCUAGCCAAUCUUCACUUACUAGAAAACUCAUCGUUGGACUUCAUAGAAGAAUUAAGAAUUGAUCAUGGCUAUGACACAUUUAGACAAGCUCGGAUGUUAAAGAAAGAGGGAAAUAUAAUGUACAUGCUAUAUGAUGAUAAAGGCAAGAUUCGGUUACCUAACCCGAACCUUGGCCUCUACACUGUGCAAAACUUUUUGAUUGAGAUUGCAGCAACACCAGUGAACCAGAGAACUCCACAGCGAGUAGCAUCUGAAAGGAUAACCACUCACCGAGAACGCACUUGGUAUGGAGCUGACCCUGGACCAGAAGAAGCAGCGCACCUGCAUUAUUGCGAUUACAAUCCACGAGUCCUUCAAAACCCAUGGGCUCGAUAUGCGCAACCACAAGAGCCAACAGAGGAGACAUGGCCGGAGAGCCAAGAUCACCAGUGGACAAACCCGCCUUUUCAUACGGGCAGGUACUCCACUGAUCCAUAUGGAGCUUCAGGAUCCAGACCUCCGCCCCAAUUUGAUGCAGGACGAUACUCUGACACCUCCUACGCUUUCACGAAUGUCUACUAUCAAGAGGCUGGUGCUUUCUUCACUCGUACCGACAACACCCUCCUCGACAUCCAGAACACGCAAGCAGAACAUGGAAGACUCCUGGAAGAGCAACAAAAAUGGAACCAGGACCAUGCAGCUGCAGUAGAAGAGCUGAGACAAGAUACAACAACAAUGAAUGACAACAUCACAACCAUGAUGCGGUUCUGGAACAUCGGGGAAGACCGACGUCAACAUCCAGCUUGGGGGAGUUCCUCCUCAAAUUAUCAAGUAAGUUUUUAUUUGCUCUUCUUAUAUAUUCUAUUCUGUCUUAGUAUUUAAUUAAUCUUAAAAGGAAAAACUUAGAAAACCAAAUAAAUAUUUUCUUGCUUUUAUUCACUGCACUUUAAUAAACAUGAAAACAAAAUAAAAAGAGUGUGUAGAUAAGUGUGCUUUAUUUUCCUGCUAAGUUUAAUCUCUAGAAAAAAUAAAAAGACCAAAAAUAUGCAUGAUGGAAAUGAUGAACAGUUGCUCUGUUUGCUUACUUACAAGUACCUAGCUUUUAUAUUAGAGUUCUUCCAGGAAUUACUAAAACUAAACUUACUAUCUUUGGGAAGCAUAAAACUAAAGUCUAGGUAAGAGAAAGGCAUGAUAUAAAGUUGAGCUGCUGUUUAUCUUGUUCCUACUACACUAAGUUCUGGAGAUUUAUUUUGAAAACUUCCAAGUCACAUGAUGAGUUCCUAGCAUACAAAACUACCUACCACAGCCAUACUUAACAUCUUUUACUAUAUUCACAUUGAGUUUGAUCGAGUUGUGUAGACCCUUAGGAGCUUUUCAUGUGGUUAAAUUAAGAUAUUCACUUGCACACAUCUACCACAGCAUUCACCAUCAAUCAUUAAAAUUGCUAAAAAUAUUUUCACUCACUAUCCCUAAUAUUGUUAUUCUCUCUCUCUAAAAAGAUUCAAUGCAGAACAGGCAUGGGUUAUGCUAAAGUAUACGAGGAAAUAAAAAGGGGCAGGUGCCCGGAACCUUGAUAAAGAAGGAAAAAGAGUGAGACGAGAGGUAAAAAUGGACAAGUGUCCGAAGUAGAAUUCGGGGUACAAAGAUGCCCACUUGAGCGGAAAAAAUGGACAAGUGUCCGACAGUAGAAUUGGGGGUAUCUACUACCCACCUGAAAAAAAAGAGAAAGAGAAAAAGAGAUAGCCCAUGUUCUCCCAAAGCAAAGAUCAAAGAAGAGGCGAGAUAGCAAUAUGAGGAGCAAUGAGAAGUAAGUUAUCACUUAUGCAUUUUCACCAUCACUAUCAUUUACUCCAUCACACAUGCACAUCUUGAUUUAAUUAUAUGCUGAGUUCCUUUGGAUCCAUGGCUCGAUUAGACAACAUAUGUAUGAGCUGUUUAUCACUCCUAUGAGCUCCACUUAAAUAUUUCAUUAGCUAUAGGUAAGUGAUAUCAUGGUAAGGAUCCACAAAUACCACAUAUAGAUAGACUUGAGAGAAUCAUUGCUGGGAACUCUGAAUUUUAUUUUGAAAACUUAUGAAAAACUCUAGAACAAAGGUGAAGUAUGGACAAGAGGGAUAGUGCUUGACUUAACUAUUUUGUCUUUUGAUUACUUAAGACUUAGGUACAGGUACUAAACUUCAUAACACUUCACUUUAAUCUGGAAGAAUUUUUAUGUAAAAGCAUGUGUGCCUGUCAGGAAAGAAAACAUCGAAGCAACUCCUGAUCCGUCUGAGUUUAGCUGUUUGCUCAGGGACCAGCAAAGGGUAAGCUUGGGGGAGUUUGUUGACGGUCCUUAAGUACUAAAAUUAAUAAUCAAAUAAACAUGAAAAAGGAUCAAUAUGAAACAAACAUCUAGAAUUAGGGUUUUAUCUGACACAAUUCCACGAGUUUUGGUGUUUAUCUAUUUCUGCAGGGGUUUAUCAGAAAAUAUGGAGAGAAGGCCCACAUGUCAUGUUUACAACGAGAUAAUUACGUGCCGCGCAAUUUUCUGCCAUCUAGAAGGAUCCAGAAGCCACGGGAACGAACGGGAGGCGAUUCGGGCUCGGGGCUGGGCGGGCGCCCGCCCUGGCCAGGAAGCCAAACAGGACUCUGCUUCGGGGCAAGACUCCACCGACCUAAAGGAUCAAUCUAAACCAUACAAUCUAUGUCGGUUUGAUCCAAUGGCUCACGUUCACUUGAGGGGACUAUAAAACCAGACCCCCUGGCCCCUGGAGGAGGAGAGGAGAAAUCAUUAUUCAGAGGUAGCCAUCAAAGUUAGGGUUUAGAUCUCUCUCCCACAGAGAAUUAGAAUUAGCUACUCCCUAAUCCUUCAAGUUUAGAGGUUGAUUAGAUAGCAAUUAGAGAAGUAGAGCACUACGCUCUGGAUUCGGAUCUUCGGUAAUAAAGAUUGGUAUUAUUCAUAUCUUUCUCUAAUUCUAUUGUUCUAAUUGCAUUAUGUCUCUAAUUAUUAUUUCUUAGUUUGCUCCAGUUCUAUAUUUGAUAUAGUUCUAAUUGAUAAUGAGUUUAUGUAUAAGUUUGCAAAGCGCUUAGCUCUUGACGCGAGGGAGUUAGGUGAUAGAUCACAUGUGAGCGUGGUGCUUAGAUGUUAUUUAUCUGCAAAUGUAUCCUAUUGGCCGGGUCGUGUGGUAGUUCGCGAUAGUGACAGCUUCAUUGAUUCUUAUAUAGUCCACCCUCCGUUGAUAGGACAGGCAGAACCGGUAUUGUGGAGUAAGUCAUGUGAUGCUCUCAUUUACUUUAUCAAUGUUCCUUGUACAUGAAUGAAGAGUCUUUUAUGCUAUAUAUGAUCUUGUAGAUAACUAGAGUAGAUUAUGACUUAGUAGUUAGUAGAUAACUUAGAAUCCAUUCUCUAGCUAAUCCGACAUCACCUACAUAUAUGAGGAGUAGUCUAUUUUCUAAUCGCUGUGCUAUCUACCCAUGAACUUAUACUUUAUUAUCAUUAUCUUUAUGGUUUACCCCCUGCUAAAGUAAGUGACUAUGUGACGAGUUUCUCAUUAGUAAUCAAGUUCUUGCAAGUUUAUCUCUAGUCUAUGCCUUGAUAGAUUUUGUCCCUUGAUUUAAUUCCAUCUUCUUGAGAUCCCUUGAGCAAAAUUAUAAAUAACGAUACCUGGAAUACUUAUCCUGGUGAAAUGCUACAAUGAGGUGUUUUAUCUGCGCGCUUGCGGAUAGAAUAGAUUAUUUUCUAGAGAGCCUUUACAUUUAUAAAUACCUUUGUACACUCUGGCGCCAUGCUAGGGAUGACAACCUAGUAUCUAAGUGGUGUUAGCUAGUGUCAACAGUGGGAAUAAACCCUGAGUACAGGAAUGUACUCAGCUAGACCUACCCGUCUUGUAAAACAUAAAAGACACCAAGGAUCAUGCAAGGCUAAAUAUCAAGUGGAGCUGGUUGACUCGCCUUUUGCCAAAAGCUUAACUCACAACUAAGUUAUUUUGAGAGCAUCAUCUUUAAUUAUCAUCAACUUACCACUAGAUUGGCACCUAUACUACAACACAUCACUUGAUUAUUACAAACAAUAAUAACCAUAUCAAAUUCAUCAUAUGUUCUUCUUGCUAUCAUCAUUUUCAUGAACCAUGUUCAUUAGUGAAUGCUACGUUUGCCGCUGCUCUGUCAAGUUCUCACUAACCGGGAGAGACAGCGAUUCGAAUCGAAUUCCUAUCCAGCUGGAGGGUUAUUCCUAGCACUCACACAAGCAUCCCCUGCCGGAGAGGCAACGGGUCACCUUUGGUACAACUCAGGAAUCGCGGCUCCGAUCAGCGCCGCACUCCCAGGGCUACCACUCUGCCAGGGAGGUCAGGAAUUUUAACUCACCUGCCUUUGGACUUACGCUAAUGGUCCCCCGCACACCGCACUUCCUCCGGUAGUGCGCACUUUAUACUUGCCGGUCUUCCGGCCUGAGUCAUACUACUCGGCUUCGCGGUCGAAACGAGUUAUCCGGCCAACUAAGUGUUAAGCAUGCGUUCAACAUGACAAGAGAACGUACAACGAUCGGUCCUUAGCUGCCACAGAUGGAGUUACUACAAACUUGCAAAACUCCGCCCGGCUUAAGUCAUUUUAAUCAGGUUCCAUCCACGAUAGCACAUAUAGACCCUCGUGAUCCGACAUCACCCUAUAUCGCGCAGGUGACAGGAAAUCACCCGACUUCUACCGAUUAAGCAAGGCUAAGCUGCUACUCGAUCCUAACUCUACAACCAGGGUGUGGUGAGUUAUCUGGACAAGGAUAGAGUAGAAUGCAGCAACAGUUUCUUCACAACUCCUAUACGUAAUGCAUCAAUAGAUAGAACAUAUUAAGUGAACUUUCGAAAAUAAAGGGAGACUUAGAAUGCUCCGGGGCUUGCCUUUCACGAAAGAUGCCGGCUCGUGAUUCGGGCACUCAACUUCUUCUUCGGGCUCCUCGAGUCCGGCUUGCUGGACCUCCACCUCUUGGCUGCCCUCCUGGCCUUCGGGAUUCACUUGCAGCUCGUAGGAGGCUGUCGCGUCCGAUGCACCUAUUGCAUGCUCGAACAAUAAGAAGAUGCACAUGCUAAAGAUGAAGGCUUGAUAACACAAGUAACUCACUGGACACUCAUUCACGGAGCAAAGUCAUACAAGCUCACAUAAGUAAAUAAGUCAACUCAGCUCAAAACCUAUCAUGAUACUAAAACAGCAAGCAACACAAAACAAGCAUACCCAGUAAAUAAAUCAUAACUAAUGAUAGACAGGUCCAACAAUCAUGAGUGAAGACAUUCUGUAAAGCUUAUAAAAUUGUCCACUACUCAUCUUUAAUCAUCACAGCAAGAUUCAUACAUUAAACCAGUCAUUUAAACAAAGUUCCAGGUUCUGUCCCAGAAAAACAGAGAGCACCUAUUUCUGGAACCCAACUUGGAACAGCUAUAACUUUUAAACUACUUGGCCAAAUGACCUCAAAUUUAAACUACAGCUAGUUCAACAAGUUUAGAACAACUUUGAUUUGGACAAGUUUCACAGAAAGUCAAGUUAUCAUUAAGCAAAGUUAAAUCCUUUCCUUGCUGUCUAGGACAGCCUUUAACCCUUUAAGUAAUUAUUUAAUGACAUAACCAAAACAUAAACCAUGCCAACCACUUGGCUAAUGAGCACAAACAUAUUACAAGGUUACCAGAACACCAGAUGAAAACCCCCAAACAUUUACUUAACAAGGCAUUUAUUAAUUAAUUCUAAAAAAGAGCAUAAUUAUAAUAUACCAGUCUAAAUGCUCAAAAAAAUCUACAAAAAUUACAGAAGCACAAGUAUGACAUCAGGGCAUCACCAUAAAAAUUUCAGAGCAAUUGCACAUACUAAAUUAAAGAUAUGUAUUUAACAUGUGCCAAGGUAAUUAUUUCAUAAAUUCAGAAACAUGACUCAUAUGGUGCCAAACAACAGAUUUCAGAUUAUUUAUGUCUUAGGAAUACCAUAAACCUGUUUACUACCAAAGUAGAGCACCAGCAUAAGCACCAAUUAAUUUAUAUAAUUUAAUCAAGGAAACAAGCCACAUUUCAAUCAUAAAUUACAUAACAAAGCUGCAGUGCCCCAAAACUACUGAAAGAUUUACCAAAGCACUCUCAUACCAUACAGAGACUACCACAAAAUUUACAGAGUAAACUAAGCAGUAUAACAAGAGAUAUACAUUUAUCCAUGAAUAACAAGAUUAAAUCCUUAAUAAAUAAUUUCCCAAAAAACAUGGUUCAUUUUAUAUUUUUAUUAAAAACUAGCCAUCUCAAGGAAUACAACAAAAUUUGUUUCAACAUUUUUGGAUCACCAGAACUAGAGAUAUGAUUUUUGUAAAAACAGCUCAAACCCUAGUUUGAACAAAGGAGAAAGAGAGACUGACAGAGGGGACCCGCGAGUCAACGGACCCCACCUGCCAGCGACCCGGAAGCAGAGGCGCGGCUUGACCGCCGGAGAUCUCGUCGACGGCGAGGUCUCGGCGCUGGCCAAGGGCACCAUCGUGCUCCCCACUGCAUUCCGCAUCUAGCGGUACCCAAAACCCUAAUUCUACCGGACUCUAGGUACCUUGCCAUCGCGAAUGGCGACACGGCAGUGGUGCGCGGCCGACCGCCGGCGUCUCUGGCCGGAGACAGAGCAGAAGAGAAUGCGGACGAGCAACAGCAAGACCUAGCGAAGCUUUUGGGACAAGAAUGAGGAAGAAUGGUGGACUACAGAGCCCUGGCCACGACGCCGGUGGCCAUGGCAGAGCUCCGACGAGGUAAGCUCGCGAUGGAGAAGGCAAUGCGGGCUCACCGAAGCUCGGCAGUCGCAGCCAACUUGAAGACGGUGAAGUGGAGAGGCUGGCAGAGCGCUGGGCGGAGUUGCUUAGCCAGAGACACGGAGACGCGCGCGCGCGAGCUCGCCGAAGCAACGGCGGCGACGCGGAGACGACGACGCACGCGAGAGGGAGGGAACCGGAGUGGAAUGGCGCUGUCCACGCAACCGGGGGCGCCGUGGCGAGCUGAAGGACGUGCGGAGGACUGACGAGCGGGGCCAACGGCGACGUACGGACGCCACGAGUCAAGACACGCGGCAACACCGGCGAGCUCCCCCUGUCUGACGGCGGCUCCAUUCAGUUCCCAAACCGACUGAAACUCGAUUUUGCCCGACGCUUAACUCCCUAACCACUCGAUGAUUUUGCUGGCUAAUUGCUCCAUGCUGGAGAGCUACAUGAGUACUCCAACAUUGCUUACAAGAUCAAAGCUUGAUUCGGCCUAGAAUUCAAACUGGAGGAUGAACAAUACCCCCUCGAGCAAACUGCAGUGAUUCCAGACUUAGAAAAUUUUCUAAGUGUUGGAAACAGCCCCAAAUCUGCCUUGUGGACCCCUUUUGAGCUAUUUGUGUUCAUUUUCAUGAGAUGGCCAUAAAACAACUUUUGUUCCUUAUAAAAUUUACUACAACUUUUCUGUAGAAAGUUUUGACAUGCAAACAUUUUAUGAAACACUUUUUAAAAGCCUAAGCAAAAGAGGUCUCUAGGGCCUAUUUUCAUAAGUAUGACUUAAAGGCAUAUUUUGGAGAAGUGACCAACAUGAACAUUGUUCCCAAAGUCAAGUUAAGCAUAGAUAAACUAAUUACCAAGGCAUUAAGCACAAACACAAUCAUGGUUCACUCAAACAUAAGCAUAGGAAGACUAUUUAAGCAAUUUAAACCACAUUUUUGCAUAGAAUGACAUGGCUCAAGAUAGAUGAUGAUCAUGGAUGCUUUGAAUAGAUGAUGAUGCUUAUGCUAUGCACAUGAUUAAUGCAACCAUAACACUGGGGUGUUACAGCCCUCCCCCUUACAAAAAUCUCGUCCCGAGAUUUGAAAGCUUACUGAUUUUCGAAGAAUGUUUUGUAAACUUCUCUUAAAUAAUCCUCCGUCUCCCAAGUAGCAUCUUCCUCCCCGUGGUUGCUCCACAACACUUUGUAGAGCUUAACCACACGAUUACACGUCUCCCGUUCCUUGCGAUCAAGAAUCACUACGGGUUUUUCUUCAUAUACCAAGUCUGACUUCAACUUGAUAUCUCGAAUUUCCACUCGCUCCUCUGGUACACGAAGGCACUUCUUUAAUUGUGAUACGCGGAAUAUAGGGAAAAUAGCUCGAAGCACAACUGGGAGUUGAACUUUGUAUGCCACAUUCCCUUUCUUUUCGAGAAUCCGAUAAGGUCCCACAUAGCGAGGUGCAAGCUUUCGCUUGACUCCGAACCUUUGUACACCCCUCAUCGGAGACACCUUCAUGUACACAUGGUCACCAACUGAAAACUCAAUCGGCUUCCUUCUCUUGUCGGCAUAACUUUUCUGACGAGCUUGAGCAGCUUCCAGAUGUUGCUGGAUAGUACGGACUUUCUGCUCUGCUUCGUUCACGAAAUUGAUGCCAUAAAAUCUUCGCUCUCCAGCUUCUACCCAAUUCAACGGAGUUCGACACUUCCGACCGUACAGGGCUUCAAAUGGAGCCAUCUUGAUACUCUCCUGAUAACUAUUGUUGUAGGAGAACUCAGCUAAUGGCAACCACUUAACCCAAGAACCCUUUGAAGAGAGAGCACAUGCCCUCAACAUAUCUUCAAGGAUUUGGUUAACUCGUUCAGUCUGACCGGCCGUUUGGGGAUGAUAAGCAGAGCUACAGACUAAAUGAGUACCAAUUUGCUCAUGCAGACAUUCCCAAAAACGAGCAGUGAACUGUGGUCCACGAUCUGAUAUGAUUGUUCGAGGCACACCAUACUGACGAACAAUGUGCUCAAAAUACAACUCCGCAUAUUGAUGUGGACGGUAGUCAGUUCGGACUGGAAUAAAUCGAGCAACCUUGGUCAAACGAUCUACAAUUACCCAGAUGGAGUCGUACCCCUUAACAGAAAUUGGGAGUCCACUGAUGAAAUCCAUGCUGACUUCUUCCCAUUUCCAACCAGGAAUUGACAAGGGUUGAAGCAAACCAGCUUUCAUGUCAACAGCCUUCACACGACAACAAUUGUCACAACGAGCGACAAAAGCAGCUAUCUCCUUUUUCAUCUUUGUCCACCAAAACAACGGUUUUAAAUCCUGAUACAUCUUGCUACUACCAGGAUGGAUAGACAAUUUGGAUGAAUGAGCUUCAGAUAAGAUCUGAUUUCGCAGCUCACGGUCUUUUGGGACCACAAGUCGAUCCUUGAACCAAAGGAUUCCGUUCUCAUCAACCCGGAAAUGCUUGGUUUCUUCUUCCUUCAUUUUCCUCUUUAUAUGGUGGAUACCUGCAUCUGUCUGCUACAAUUCGAUGACUCGAUUGCGAAUGGUACUUUCUAGAAAAAUCUGGUUUUGCACAAGUGGAUGCAUAAGAUGUGACAACAACAGAUCUUCCACUUGGAUUGAGUGACAGUGCGCUUUCCGACUCAAGGCAUCCGCCACCACGUUUGCCUUGCCCGGAUGAUAGUGCACUUGGAGAUUAUAAUCUUUAAUCAACUCAAGCCACCUUCGCUGACGCAUGUUCAGUUCAGGUUGAGUGAAGAUAUACUUGAGGCUCUUAUGAUCGGUGUAGAUAUUACACAGAUUACCUAGUAGAUAAUGCCUGCAGAUUUUCAAAGCAUGAACAACUGCUGCCAAUUCUAAGUCAUGAGUAGGGUAAUUGACCUCAUGCUUUCGAAGUUGGCGCGAGGCAUACGCGAUAGCGCGACCUUCCUGCAUCAACACAUAGCCUAAACCAAUGCCUGACGCGUCACAAAAGACAUUGAAGGGCUUCUCGAUAUCAGGUUGAGCUAGGACAGGAGUUGAUGUCAGCAAUGUCCUCAACUUGUGGAAUGCCUCUUCACACUCAGGUGUCCACGCCAACUUUUCAUCUUUCUGAAGCAGACGAGUCAUAGGCUUGGAUAUUUUGGAGAAUUCUAGAAUAAAUCGAUGGUAAUAUCCAGCAAGACCGAGAAAACUCCGAACCUCGUGUACCGAAGUUGGAACUUUCCAAUCAAGCACUUCUUGCACCUUAGCCGGAUCCACCGAUAUGCCUUCUUCAAAUAAGAUAUGGCCCAAGAAAGGUACUUUCUUUAGCCAAAACUCGCAUUUGCUAAACUUGGCAUAAAGCUGAUGUUCGCGCAAACGCGACAACACUACACGCAGAUGCUCUGCAUGCUCCUCUUCAUUGCAGGAAUAUACCAAGAUAUCAUCAAUGAAGACCACCACAAACUUGUCCAAUUCGGUCAUGAACACCAAAUUCAUAAGACACAUGAAAUGAGCAGGUGCAUUUGUAAGACCGAAGGACAUGACAAGGUACUCAUACAGUCCAUACCUCGUCGAGAAAGCUGUCUUAGGUACAUCCUCAGGACGGAUCUUGAUCUGAUGGUACCCAGAUCGCAAAUCAAUCUUGAAGAAUACCUUAGCUUUAGACAACUGAUCAAACAAGAUAUCAAUGCGAGGAAGAGGGCAUUUGUUCUUGAUAGUCACCGCAUUUAGGGGACGAUAGUCCACACACAUGCGCAAAGAUUGAUCCUUCUUCUUCACAAAGAUAGCCGGACAACCCCAAAGAGAAGAACUAGGACGAAUAAGACCCUUCUUCAACAACUCAUUCAGUUGGGUCUUAAGCUCAGCUAAUUCAUUGGGUGGCAUCCUAUAAGGUCUUCUAGAGAUAGGAGCGGUACCUGGAAUCAAUUCAAUCUUGAACUCCACAUCCCGAUCCGGAGGAAGGCCGGGUAAAUCAUCAGGAAACACGUCCCGAAACUCGCACACCACCGGAAUGUCCUGAAUAGCCUUAGAUGUAACUGCAUUUACAGUGCUACGGAUUUGAAUAUCAUGAGGGAGUUGCACUAGAAAUGCCUCCUUGGUAUUUGGGUCUUUCAACAUCACUACACGAGUGGUGGUGUCGAUAAGAACUCCAUUGCCACUCAUCCACUUCAUCCCCAAAAUUACAUCUAUGCCCACACCGGGUAGAACAAACAGAUCAGCAAGAAACUGACGGCCUCCUAUUUCCAGAGUUGCCCCCAAAACCACUUGAUUGGUGGAAAUAUCAUUUCCCGCAGCACUAAUACAGUAACUGCCCAUAUCAAGUGUAAUGGCCUUGAUGCUAUGCUUAGACACAAAUUCAGAACUCACAAAGGAAUGCGAUGCUCCACAAUCAAAAAGCACAAGUGCAUCAUGUUGAUUGACCAAAAACUUACCAGCCGUGACUACCUCACCAGCAGGGAUUGCUUCCACAGUUGUGUAAUGAACACGCCCCUGACGGACGUUCCCCUGGUUGCCCUUCUUUGGCGGGUAAGGACAGUUGCUCUACCAAUGCCUGGUCUGAUUGCAGUUCCAGCACGGACGGUUGGCAGGUGGAGUCUUGGCAUAGUUGGGACCCGUGUUGCCCCUAGGAAGAGCAAUAGAGUACCCAUUGCGAAAACCCGUCUUGGCCUGAUUCUUCUUCAUCGGAGGGCGGUAUCACUGGUUGGGGGUUGGAGCACGGAAUGGGGGCUUAGUUGCCACUGGAGCCUCGGACUGAGAUGACCCAGCACCGGCCUCAAAAGCCCUCUUGCCAGUCUUGGUCGCAGUGUACACAGUGUUAUAGUUCUCUUGAGUGAGAGCAUCACUGACAAACUCAUUGAAAGUUGCACACUUAGUGCGGCCCAUAGUCUUCAGCAAUUUGGGGCCCAAACCCCGCUUGAAACUAGCAAUCUUUUUCGUCUCCGUGUUCACAAACUCAGGAGCAUACCUAGACAAAUGAUUGAAAGCAUGUAAAUACUCCUUCAGAGUUUUGUUGCCCUGAGUCAACUGCAUAAACUCGGUAUGCUUCAUCUCCAUAACACCAGGAGGAAUGAAAUGCCCCUUGAAAGCUUCACGGAAAAGAUUCCAGUCAAGCACUGUGUUGGCUGGAAGAGUGUUGGGUAUUCUUAGCAUCAUUACCAAAAGUAGACUAAGUCUCUAAAUCUAGUAACGGUGCCAAAAAUGCCAAACCUAUCCCUCACACCACUUAAGCCAAGUUGUCAUCCCCAGCAUGACAUGAGAGACGCGGUAUUAAAAUAUGCAAUUGCUCUUCUAAAUAAAUAAUGAAUUGGAUCUGCAAGCGCACAGAUUAAUACCGAUGUAGCAUUUUAACCGGGAAGUAUUCCACGUAUCGUUAUUUAUAUUUUUACCACUGGGAAGGGAUUAGAAAUCAUCACUAAUGAUUACAGAAUAGAAUAUGAGAUUGAGCAUCUAUCAUUGCAUGUAUAAUUGAGAACAUUAUAUCUAACUCUUCAUACAGGGAUAAGUGUCACAUAAAAGAUAUAUGAAAUAAUAAUAGUGACAAGGAUAACUAAUCUGAUCUAGCCACAUAAUAAAUAUGAUAAGCACCUCAAUUAGAUACUCUAGAAAGUCAUUAGCAUGGUAUUAGAACGAACUACAAGAAUAUUCCCUAAGCUAUUCUUAACUAUAUAGUCUAGCAUUAUCAUAGUUAGUGCAAGCAUACUUAGCAAUCAUUGUGAGACAAAACUACACCCAUGUAUAGUGAUAUUAGCAACGAAUAUGAGAAACAUAGCAAUCACUCCCCUGUAAUAAUGUUGCUCUGCCAGCCCAAUACACGAGAGGGGGACUAUAUAAGAAUCAAUGAAGCUGUCACUAUCACGAACCACCCCACGAUCUGGCAUAUUGGGUACAAUCGCAGAUAAAUACGGUAUAAGCACCACGCCUACACAAUAUCUAUCAUUUACCCAUGGAUCCGAUGGAUAAACGCUAUACGAUCCUAAGCAUGUAUAUAGAUCAAAUCUAACUAAGCUAAGUACAUAACUAUGAUAAACUAAGAACAAUAUAAUCUUGAAUAUAAGCAAGUAGAGCAAAGUCAUAAGCAAUAUAUUGAAGUAGAACAAAGUCAUAUUCAUAAUAUUGAAGAACAAAGAUAAUUAGAAAGCAAUUAGAAGCACAAUUAGAGAAUUACCAAGAAUCCUCCUGACAGAUCCGGAAACCAAUCGAAGAUUGACUCCUUCUAGUUCUAAUCCUAUGUAGCUAUGCUAAUCUAGAUAUCUAAUUGAUGUGGUGGCUCUAAUCUUGAUCAGAGGCUUCUUCUCCCUUGAUGGAACAAUGAAUUAGGGUUGAGAGGCUCUCUCCUCCAGGGGCCAGGGGGUCUGGUUUUAUAGUCCCUUCAAGUGAAUAUGGGCCCUUGGAUUAAACCGACAUAGAUUGUAUGGUUUAGAUUCAUCCUUUAGGUCGGUGGAGAUCUCCCACGAAGCAGAGUCCUGAUUGGAUUCCUGGAGAGGGCGGGCGCCCAAGGGAACAGGGCGGGCGCCCUGACUCUGGCCCCGUUUCGCCUCCGCUUCGGUCUCGUGGCUUCUGGAGUCUUCUAGAUGUAAGAUAAUUGCGCGGCACGUUAAUAUCUCUAUGUAAUCCCGACGUGUGGACCUUUCUUCCUUAUUUCCUGAUACCCCCCUGCAGAAAUAGACAAACACCAAAACUCGUGGAAUUCUAUCAGAUAAAACCCUAAUUCUAGAUGUUGAUUUCAUUUGGAUCCUUUUCUUUAUUUAUUUGAUAAUUAAAUUUGAUACUUAAGGACCGUCAACAAAGAGCUUCCCGAUACUGAUUCCACCAGAUGCCAGCCGGUCCUUGGAGUUGGUGGGCGGCAUACUCUGCCUUCAGACCUUCAGUCAACCGAAGUAAGCGGAACUUUUGUUCCACCGUAUUCAGCCAUUCUUCAGCUUGAAGGGGUUCUUCAGCUUCUCUGAAAGGUGGGGGCUUCGUAUCCAUGAAGUCCUUGAAGCUACUGUACUGGUUAGGAGCUGGCCCUUCUUGUGCAUUACGACCACCCUGAUUUGCCAUCCGAUUGAUGGUCUCAGUGAGCAUCCUUUGAUUCUCCACCAUCAUUUGCAUUAGCUCAGCUGGAUUUGGUGGUGGAGGAGGAGGGGGUGGAUUCAUGUUUGCACGCUGUUCCGCACCUCGGGUGCCACGAGACAUCUGUAAAGACACAAUCAGUGAGCAUUGAUGAUGACAAGAUUUGCCGCAGAAGAACUUAUAUUCAUGCCUGAAAGUAUUCGAGAGAAUAGCUUUACAGAAAGACACAACAAUUCAAUUCCACAAAACAACAUCACCAAUCCAACACAUGACAUAGAUAUCCGCAAUACGCACCACAACGGAAAACAUCGGCAUAACAUAACGAUCAUAUUAAGACUGCACAUUGGGUCCAUAAAGUUGUUACACCAUCACAGUACAUGCCAUGAGUCAAGGUCAAAGUUUCAGAUUACAACAUGGUUACAAAAGCAACACGGCUGACUGACACACUACAAAAGAUCCUCACAUAACACUACCCACUACUCCUACACUCCAGGCUCGUCGUCCGAGUCAGCGUCGAAGAUCGCCUCUCCAUCCUCGUCGCUAACCGGCUCAAGCUCCUCAUCCUCCACGUCCUCGUGCAAAGGUGGUGCAGCCGCUGCUGGUCCAUCAACCUCCAUACCAUCAUCAUCGGCCACAAUCACCUGGGUCCCACCUCUGGAUACAUGGGUAUAGGGCGAGGAAUGGGGUGUCGCAAGUUGUUGAGACGGUGAAUCUCCACAAGACCAGCCUCAAUCUGAUCCUGCAGAUAGUUCUCCUGCUCAAGCGACUGAACUCGGUGCAUCUCCCAUGCCUGGCGCCUGUUCUCCGACACGCGGAGUGCAGUAUCCCUCUCACGGGUGAGCUGCACCAAACGCUCCUGUAUGGUCUCCCUCUCUCUAGCUAACUGGCUCAUCUGAUCCUGCUUAUGAUCCCUCUCUCUAAUGGCCUUCACCCACUGCUGCCUACGGUACUCCGCAAUGUCCUCCCAGUCAUUGCGGUCCUUCUGAGCUUGCUCCAGGAGUCUAGCUUGCUUGCGAAACUUGCGAGCACGCUUUUCAGCCUUCCGCUGCGCCUCCUGGGCCCUGCGAACAGCCACCAUCACUUGUGCAUAGGUGCCCUCUCGCUGACUAAUCAGCUUUAGCACAGCCAUCAUAGCACUCAUAGCAGGACUAGAACUCUCAGCCCUCUCUCCCCUGCCUCGAACCAAAGCACAACCGUUAGCCUGUUUCCACUCCGCUGCUGCUGGGUCAGCACUAGGAAUGUAGGCCGCUGGUCCUCCCGUCAGCUCGUCACCACACCUCUGAUAGAUAUCGAGGAGGAUAGUCUGGGCUGCAACCUGGGCUGCCUCCCAAGGAGUCUGCCCAUCUGAGCUACAAGUCCAGCCUGUCCAUGCAGGCUUGUCCCCAUGUGGAGGGACAACUCCCUGCACAGCAAACCACUGAAUCCCUCCGGUGCUCUCCAUCUCCCACCAAGAAUACUGAGGUGGCUCAGUAUACCCAACAGUCCGUAACACUCUCCAGAGCACGGUAGGAGUGCCAAACUCGUGCAAGGAAGUGUCACUGGGACGGGGUGAAGCGGGUGCGUCCAUCUGUGGAAAGGAAUAGGAUAACCAUGGGUAAAAGAGGAUUAGUUUAAGCAACAUUUAUUUAAUUAAAAGGGGUGACAUUGUAAGGGAAGGAGUAGACAGAAUGUAUGCAUGAAUGCGACAUGAUGCAUGCACGAACCGUACGUCCUCACAAACUUAGAAAAUUAAUAUUCUAACGGAUAUACGGUGGCAUACAUUCGUCUUUCGAUACGAUAACUAUCGGUCUACACGUGCGCUGUUAGAGUACCUGCAGAAAACUUUAUUUCAGCCCAACAAUUCCCAAUAUAUCACUCAAGAAAGCAGUAAACUAAGUGCACAUUGCUUGGACAUGCCCAACAUGCACAAACAACGACACCACAACUACCCGAGAAAUUAAAUGCUCCCCAAUUAAGCUUCUUCCAUGGUUCCAUGGUUUUGACUUGUAACCACUCCAGAAAACCACGGCGAACACUCCCCUAGACCGCCGUUUGGACGAUCACGCUCUCACAGCUCACACUUACCAGAGCGUAGGUGCGACGUUGCAUAAUUUAAAUCUAGCGACAUAUGUGGCUACUUCACAUAUGAAGGCUACCUCCACCAUUAGACCACACGGUAGCAUAGUGCGGUCAUCACACAUCCAUACCUGAGUACUGCCGGAGAUGCAUAAAUAAAACCCCCCAAGUCAGUACUUAAAUAGCCACCUAUAGUCCUUAUGUGGGCAAGGAGGAUUCGACCACUGGCAUAACUUAAUUAUUUAUUUUACACCCUUUUAUUUAAAAACUCUUUUGUUUUAAAUACACAAACGCUGCAUUUAUAAUGCUGAACUUGCUCCGAUGCCAGCUGUCACAGAACCGACCAAAUUAUAAGAGUUCAAGUGCAGAAAUGAUUGACCAGCAAUCAAGUUUCCAAACUUGAGCCCAUAUAAUCCCGGUUGUCAAUUGAAAUCACGAAGGACUUCAAACCAACUCGCAACAAACCAAGAUCGUAAUAGUUCAACAUAAACACAACGAAUGUUACAUAGUCAUACAUUGCCGUCAAAGCGGCACCACAUCGGAGUAUUAAGUUAUUCCAACACUUGUUCGAAAUAGCGGAAGCAAAAUAGUUACACACACAUUCCAAAGUUCAGUUCAUAAGUUCGGGUUACUGCCAGAGUCUACACCACCCUUCCAAAAGCAACAGGUACGAAGUUGUUAGAGAACCGUGCCCAACGGUUAAUCCUCAUCCCCAGCGGGAUGGAGACAGGUCUUGUAGAAACCGUCAUAGAAGAUGUCAUCUGCAACAGGUGGGAAUAAACCCUGAGUACGGGAAUGUACUCAGCUAGACUUACCCGUCUAGUAAAACAUAAAAGACACCAAGGAUCAUGCAAGGCUAAAUAUCAAGUGGAGCUGGUUGACUCACCUUUUGCCAAAAGCUUAACUCACAACUAAGUUAUUUUGAGAGCAUCAUCUUUAAUUAUCAUCAACUUACCACUAGAUUGGCACCUAUACUACAACACAUCACUUGAUUAUUACAAACAAUAAUAACCAUAUCAAAUUCAUCAUAUGUUCUUCUUGCUAUCAUCAUUUUCAUGAACCAAGUUCAUUAGUGAAUGCUACGUUUGCCGCUGCUCUGUCAAGUUCUCACUAACCGGGAGAGACGGCGAUUCGAAUCGAAUUCCUAUCCAGCUGGAGGGUUAUUCCUAGCACUCACCCAAGCAUCCCCUGCCGGAGAGCCAACGGGUCACCUUUGGUACAACUCAGGAAUCGCGGCUCUGAUCAGCGCCGCACUCCCAGGGCUACCACUCUGCCAGGGAGGUCAGGAAUUUUAACUCACCUGCCUUUGGACUUACGCCAAUGUUCCCCCGCACACCGCACUUCCUCCGGUAGUGCGCACUUUAUACUUGCCGGUCUUCCGGCCUGAGUCAUACUACUCGGCUUCGCGGUCGGAACGAGUUAUCUGGCCAACUAAGUGUCAGGCAUGCGUUCAACAUGACAAGAGGACGUACAACGAUCGGUCCUUAGCUGCCACAGACGGAGUUACUACAAACUUGCAAAACUCCGCCCGGCUUAAGUCAUUUUAAUCAGGUUCCAUCCACGAUAGCACAUAUAGACCCUCGUGAUCCGACAUCACCCUAUAUCGCGCAGGUGACAGGAAAUCACCCGACUUCUACCGAUUAAGCAAGGCUAAGCUGCUACUCGAUCCUAACUCUACAACCAGGCUGUGGUGAGUUAUCUGGACAAGGAUAGAGUAGAAUGCAGCAACAGUUUCAUCACAACUCCUAUACGUAAUGCAUCAAUAGAUAGAACAUAUUAAGUGAACUUUCGAAAAUAAAGGGAGACUUAGAAUGCUCCGGGGCUUGCCUUUCACGAACGACGCCGGCUCGUGAUUCGGGCACUCAACUUCUUCUUCGGGCUCCUCGAGUCCGGCUUGCUGGACCUCCACCUCUUGGCUGCCCUCCUGGCCUUCGGGAAUCACUUGCAGCUCGUAGGAGGCUGUCGCGUCCGAUGCACCUAUUGCAUGCUCGAACAAUAAGAAGAUGCACAUGCUAAAGAUGAAGGCUUGAUAACACAAGUAACUCACUGGACACUCAUUCACGGAGCAAAGUCAUACAAGCUCACAUAAGUAAAUAAGUCAACUCAGCUCAAAACCUAUCAUGAUACUAAAACAGCAAGCAACACAAAACAAGUAUACCCAGUAAAUAAAUCAUAACUAAUGAUAGACAGGUCCAACAAUCAUGAGUGAAGACAUUCUGGAAAGCUUAUGAAAUUGUCUACUACUCAUCUUUAAUCAUCACAGCAAGAUUCAUAUAUUAAUCCAGUCAUUUAAACAAAGUUCCAGGUUCUGUCCUAGAAAAACAGAGAGCACCUAUUUCUGGAACCCAACUUGGAACAGCUAUAACUUUUAAACUACUUGGCCAAAUGACCUCAAAUUUAAACUACAGCUAGUUCAACAAGUUUAGAACAACUUUGAUUUGGACAAAUUUCACAGAAAGUCAAGUUAUCAUUAAGCAAAGUUAAAUCCUUUCCUUGCUGUCCAGGACAGCCUUUAACCCUUUAAGUAAUUAUUUAAUGACAUAACCAAAACAUAAACCAUGCCAACCACUUGGCUUAUGAGCACAAACAUAUUACAAGGUUACCAGAACACCAGAUGAAAACCCCCAAACAUUUACUUAACAAGGCAUUUAUUAAUUAAUUCUAGAAAAGAGCAUAAUUAUAAUAUACCAGUCAAAAUGCUCAGAAAAAUCUACAAAAAUUACAGAAGCACAAGUAUGACAUCCGGGCAUCACCAUAAAAAUUUCAGAGCAAUUGCACAUACUAAAUUAAAGAUAUGUAUUUAAUAUGUGCCAAGGAAUUUAUUUCAUAAAUUCAGAAACAUGACUCAUAUGGUGCCAAACAACAGAUUUCAGAUUAUUUAUGUCUUAGGAAUACCAUAAACCUGUUUACUACCAAAGUAGAGCACCAGCAUAAGCACCAAUUAAUUUAUAUAAUUUAAUCAAGGGAACAAGCCACAUUUCAAUCAUAAAUUACAUAACAAAGCUGCACUGCUCCAAAAAUACUGAAAUAUUUGCCAAAGCACUCUCAUACCAUACAGAGACUACCAUAAAAUUUUCAGAGUAAACUAAGCAGUAUAACAAGAGAUAUACAUUUAUCCAUGAAUAACAAGAUUAAAUCCUUAAUAAAUAAUUUCCCAGAAAACAUGGUUCAUUUUAUAUUUUUAUUAAAAACUAGCCAUCCCAAGGAAUACCACAAAAUUUGUUUCAACAUUUUUGGAUCACCAGAACUAGAGAUAUGAUUUUUGUAAAAACAGCUCAAACCCUAGUUUAAACAAAGGAGAAAGAGAGACUGACAGAGGGGACCCGCGAGUCAACGGACCCCACCUGCCAGCGACCCGGAAGCAGAGGCGCGGCUUGACCGCCGGAGAUCUCGUCGACGGCGAGGUCUCGGCGCUGGCCAAGGGCACCAUCGUGCUCCCCACUGCAUUCCGCAUCUAGCGGUACCCAAAACCCUAACUCUACCGGACUCUAGGUACCUUGCCCUCGCGAAUUGCGGCACGGCGGUGGUGCGCGGCCGACCGCCGGCGUCUCUGGCCGGAGACAGAGCAGAAGAGAAUGUGGACGAGCAACAGCAAGACCUAGCGAAGCUUUUGGGACAAGAAUGAGGAAGAAUGGUGGACUACAGAGCCCUGGCCACGACGUCGGUGGCCAUGGUAGAGCUCCGGCGGGGUAAGCUCGGGACGGAGAAGGCAAUGCGGGCUCACCGAAGCUCGGCAGUCGCAGCCAACUUGAAGACGGUGAAGUGGAGAGGCUGGCGGAGCACUGGGCGGAGUUGCUUAGCUGGAGACACGGAGACGCGCGCGCGCGAGCUCGCCGAAGCAACGGCGGCGACGCGGAGACGACGACGCAUGCGAGAUGGAGGGAACCGGGAGUGGAAUGGCGCUGUCCACGCGACCGGGGUCGCCGUGGCGAGCUGAAGGACGCGCGGAGGACUGACGAGCGGGGCCAACGGCGACAUACGGACGCCACGAGUCCAGACACGCGGCAACACCGGCGAGCCCCCCCUGUCUGACUGCGGCUCCAUUCAGUUCCCAAACCGACUGAAACUCGAUUUUGCCCGACGCUUAACUCCCUAACCACUCGAUGAUUUUGCUGGCUAAUUGCUCCAUGCUGGAGAGCUACAUGAGUACUCCAACAUUGCUUACAAGAUAAAAGCUUGAUUCGGCCUAGAAUUCAAACUGGAGGAUGAACAAUACCCCCUCGAGCAAACUGCAGUGAUUCUAGACUUAGAAAAUUUUCUAAGUGUUGGAAACAGCCCCAAAUUUGCUACAACUUUGCUGUAGAAAGUUUUGACAUGCAAACAUUUUAUGAAAUACUUUUUAAAAGCCUAAGCAAAAGAGGUCUCUAGGGCCUAUUUUCAUAAGUAUGACUUAAAGGCAUAUUUUGGAGAAGUGACCAACAUGAACAUUGUUCCCAAAGUCAGGGCAUAGAUAAACUAAUUACCAAGGCAUUAAGCACAAACACAAUCAUGGUUCACUCAAACAUAAGCAUAGGAAGACUAUUUAAGCAAUUUAAACCACAUUUUUGCAUAGAAUGACAUGGCUCAAGAUAGAUGAUGAUCAUGGAUGCUUUGAAUAGAUGAUGAUGCUUAUGCUAUGCACAUGAUUAAUGCAACCAUAACACUGGGGUGUUACACUAAGUACUGUUACUUAAGAUUAUAAACUCUGUGCGUUUAUCUGGCGCCGUGCUACAGCUUUGCAUAUCGUAAGUAAGGAUGGUUAGGAUGGCCAAUCCGGCAUUCCUAAUUAUUGUUACCAGACUGCACUGCUAAGGCCGACGCCGUUAAAGGCCCUCGGUUAUCUCUCUGACAUAACUAUAGUUAUGGUAUACGAACACCCAACAUUUCUGGUGCCAUUGGUAAUGAUGGAUUUAUAGUCUAUAUUUAGUAGUGACGCUAAGAAAUGCUAACAUUGUUGCCGAUAAGACUUAUGGUUGCCAAUGUCGAUGGAGGAGGGUGUAAAGGCUAUUGCUAGAAGGGUAUGUAUGUGCUGAUGGGGCAAAAGUCAAUGAGGAAUUGAAGAAGUAGCCGAUGAAGAUUUUGUUGUAACUGGGGCGGACAUAGGAAUAGAUAGUUAUUAUUUCUUUUUCUGUAGUUGUUCUAAUAUGCCUUAUGUGUAAAAGUUUUGUUUACCUUAGUUGAAUCUUAGUCGUAUUUGGUUGUAACUCUUAAGGCUAGGGUAUAUAUACAGACCAAGCGGUAAUGUAAUAGAGAUAUCAAUCAAUAUCAAACACAAAUUUAUUCCUACUUUUACAUCUACUUUUCGACGACUUCGUCAACUUGCAUGAUUUUUCUCUUUAUGAGUUCUCAAUGAUUUGGCGAGUUACACUCAACGAUUCUCGGGUUCCACGUGAGUACCUCUUAGCCGUGACAUUUGGGCGUAUCGCGGUUGUCGGGACCAAAGUAUUCAAGUUAUCACCUUUGUCGAUUAAUAGGUCUAAUCGGCUGGCACGCCUUGAUAUCAAAAAUUGGGUAUUUGCCUUUUGUGUUUGCAGAUCUAUUUUUGCAUCAACAGAGCCCAACAAUGAGAUAGAGGAAGUAGACAUAAUUACUUUCUUUCUCAAUUAGAAUAAUUGGGCCUGACCAUUUAAUUUUUGAAUUGUCUGCGGAUAUCAACUUUUUUGAAUAAAAAAGUAAUCGAAUAAGUAUACAAAAUAGUUGAGGUAGAAGGCGCUCAAAGGGCGGGCGACCGCCCAAACCCUAGGGGCGCCUACCUGGGCACUAAGGCCAUUCACCGCCGCCUUUCUCCAUUCCUAUCCUGAGACCUUCUUUGUUUAUAAAAAGUAUAUCUUUGGAAAUUUUUCCCAUAUUUCAUCAGGAUACCUUCCCAAGAAUACAUUUUCAGACCCCUAUAUAAACAACCCAUGCCUAUGGUCUAAUCUCAUCCCAUCAUAGCUUUUCUCUUCUCUUUCUUCGAAGCUAGCUACACCUCUCUACUCAACCAUGGCUAAAGAAAAUUCAGAGAGGAGAAUGAUUCCCAAUGGGAUCGAUCUCAACACCAUCCCCAUAGAAGAACCUCGGUGCAAAGCUAUCAUUCCUAUUGAUGAAUCUAUCCCUCUAGCAACCAUUCCACCACACAACUAUGGACGCUCUUACUACGCUCAGCGUGUUUGCACCAAGCCUCUCCUUUUGGAAGGAGCUCCGCCAAAGUAGCUAGUCGUUGCUUUGCUGGCAGGGACUAAGAUCCUACUCCCAAAGUACGAUGAAGAGCUCCUAGGUGUGAAGACCAACAAAAACAGGGAAGUUGUCUGCACCAAGAACAGCACUAGGGAACACUCCUAUUUUGAGGUGGUUCGUGCUCAUCCGACAAAGGUUAAAUUUAUCCCCCUGAAGGAAGCCCCAAAGUUGUCCAUGGUUUCAUUUGAGACUGCAUGAAAACACCACAAGACCAUGGUAGAUUUGGAGAAGGAGCUUGUUAAGCAAUGAACAAUAAUAGCCUCACUAGAAGCCUGUCAGUGUGUCCAAAGUAGAUGCAUCACCCACAAUGAUAUAUGGAUGCUGACGUUGGAGCAUAACUCCAUAGCUAUAGCUGAGAGAGUGAAAGCUUUAGAGCACCCUAAAAAGUAGGGUCAAUUUACCUUAGCAUCCGAUAGGGCGAGUGUCAGUUAGAUUAAAGUUUGUUUAAUUUUAAGUUUGCAUUUAUAAUAAUAAGCCCUAUAUGAGGAUGAAAUAAAAUAAUUAUUAUUAGAUUUGUCUUGUAUCUUUUGUUUCCACAAUGUUAUGAAUGAAGAUAAUAGGAAACAAGUGAGGGGGAGACAUCCGACGAUCGAAAUGAACAAAUUUUUGUGCAACAAUAAAAAUACUGGAGAAGAUAUGACACAAAGACCGCGCUCAGCAAAGCUGAUCCUAAGGGGCCACUUGGCGGGGUGUCCGCCCAAGGGGUGGGGCCUCCUGGCUCCCAUUUCAAACCACAGUUAGGUAUGAUUUCUUUAAGUUACAAAAAUUUUAUUAUUGCUAUUGUUUCGAUUCGGAAUGAAAUAUCUCUAGUUAAACCACCUUAUACACAAAUAUUAAAAAGAUAUUUUAUUCAUGACCACAAGAUAGACUCACACCAUGAUAAUUCCUAGGAAUUCCUAUUGCUGUCGGGAACUAUUACUAUAGGGACCCUAUAUCACUUAAGUUGUUGUGUAAAGAGAGAUAGUAUGAAUAUGAGAACUUGAUUUCUAAUGUCUAGUUAGUUGGAGAAUUUCUUUUCCAAAAUCUUAAAAUUAGUAGCUGCGCUUCUACUCUGUAGUAAGAGUUAAUAUCUUACUAGAGCCAUGCAUGAAUUACAUAAACUAGCACAUAAGCUACUUGUUUUGUAUUGAGUUUUGUCGAACCUUGUUGACCUAUGUUGAUAAGAUUAUCAUGCUCUCAAGAUCAAGAUCACAUAAACCCACAUAUUUCUGUCGUUCCUACAUUGGGAAUGCACACAAACAUGUCUUUCCAUCCACAAAAUGUUUUACUCCUACAUUAGGAGAAAACACAAAAAAGAGUCUUGCUAGGAAUAAUUGCUCUAAGUUCUUUAAAGUCUUUCUCAAUAUUUUCUAAUUAUGGAAGGGAGGUAUGUGGCUAUGCAAAAUAAAGUAUUGAAAAAAAUGGACAAGUGUCCAAGAAAGAGAAAAGAAGAAAGUAAAAUAAAGAGAUAACCCAUACCAUCCUUUGUAAAGAUCAUCAAUGUUUUAGAAGAAGAAAGAUAUUCUUAAAGAGAAAAGUAGAAUUAAGAUUAGCCAUUAUAUAUUUCACACACAUGCACUUUUUGAUCUAAGAGUAUGCUAUUCCCCUCCAUAGAUCUGAGUUUGGACUUACCAACAUAUGCAAGAUAAGUAUGCUAUUUCCUUGAAUUACCUUUAACUCCAUAUAAGCCAUUAUAGAGUAGGAUACAUAUGAGGCAUAGACCAUACAUGCCUUGGUGAGUUCCACAAAUACAACUCACAUUGAGUGAUUCCAGUGUGCUACAUGAUGGCGAAGGGUAAGCUAAAUUUUUCUUUGCAAAAAUAUUAUAAACUCAAGUGACAGGACUGAAGAAAAAGGGAAAUCUAUUUUCUACUGUUCCAUCCUCAACUUCUCAAAGUUUUGUGGUAGACACUUUGAAUCCCGCAGUACAGGUAUGAUGCUGUAAAAUGCUACGGUGAUGUUCUUUGCACUUGCAGAAUCUUUCAUAUUUCUUUUUGCACUAAUGAAUGUCAGCAAUGAGUAUAACACUCCAAAUUUUUGAAUUUUAAAUUUAGUUUAAAUUUGAUUUAAUUUUGGCUCAAUUUGAAUUUUUGGGAAUUAUUAAAUAAUUUACAAAAUUAAAUAUAAGGUAGAAACAUGUUUAAGUUUGCAUUCAUGCUGCAGCAUGAUUUUUGCUUGAUUUUAUUUAUUUGUUUGUGCCUUUAUUUGAAUUUCGGAGCAAUAAUUAAAUAGGGGAAAUCUGUUUAAAAAAAAAGAAAAAAAAAGGGGCAAGCGCCCUCUCUGGGCCGGCUUCUCUCCCCAGCCCAGCAGCCGCGCCCCCCCCCUCUCCCCGCUUCGGCCCAAGCCGCGGCCCAGCAGCGCCCCUGUUGCCCGCUGCCGC
This 77353-nucleotide long non-coding RNA is filed under the name Sorghum bicolor (sorghum). RNAcentral's name for it is "long non-coding RNA (SBIC_LNC017645)". Lineage: Eukaryota; Viridiplantae; Streptophyta; Magnoliopsida; Poales; Poaceae. The record is from RNAcentral.